Molecule: long non-coding RNA, 71105 nt
Filed under: Selaginella moellendorffii
Lineage: Eukaryota; Viridiplantae; Streptophyta; Lycopodiopsida; Selaginellales; Selaginellaceae
Source: RNAcentral
CUGGGACACACAAAUGCUUAGAGCUGAGUAUAAAGAAACACGAGAUAAGUUAUGCAUACCUCCAGAUUACAGCAUCAGCUUGUUAAUCCCAGGUUUGUCUGUGCAGAAGCACAGUGCAGGAUAAGUGUAGGCACAGACCUUACACUCCUGGCCCUCUGAUGGGCAGGGCUUGGAUUCGGGGCAGCAUUGAGAGUUCGGCAUGCACUCCACCUCUUUCAGGCUCCUGAAGUAUGAGAGAAGAGAAGAAGCUGGCACAAACUUUGUGUUGGGAGCUAUCUCAAUAGCAUUGGUGGACUCAAGUGAAGCAAAUGCAAUUGCAAUAGUGAGUGUGAGAAUAAAAGCAAUCUUUGCUGCCUUCUCCAUGGGAUUUGCUACACAAGGACUAAACUGUGCUGCUGCAAAAAUAACUACAACCUGAGAGUGGUAUGUAUAUGGUGUGGAGGAAGACAUGUAUUUAUACUAUUAGACAGGCCUUGCAUGAAUAACGUGGGCUAGGAGACGUGCAAUGUGCUUGAGACACGUGCCAAGGCACAGUGGCGGAUAAGAUACAGUCAUAUGCCCACGUGGACUUAGCUGCUUCAGGGGUAUUCCCAGGAUGGGCAUCUGGCAUCGGCAAAAGGGAUCGUUGAUGCAAUGAAUGAGAGAACAUUGUCUCUUGGAAUGAGAUGCUUAGAGCAUAUUCCCAUCCCCAGAAUAUAGAAUUUUUGGACAGCACACUUAGAGAGAUGCCACAGGCGGACUUGGUCUCGUACGUGGACGAUUCUGCUCACAGCAUAUGCCAAGGCUGGGAAUCUCCAUGACCAGAUGACCUGGUAUCUUGUAUCAGGGGUAUUGUGUUAAACAUGACACACCCUCGCCUGGUUGACGACAAGGAAGCUGUUGGAAUCGAUGCCGUAUUGCUACGGAGUGACGUGGAAUGCCAUGCUUGCCAUCCUUAACUAACAGUUUUGACAAAUCAUAAUGAAUUUGAUGCCCACCAGAGACACAGCAUAUGCCCAUUCGCGGCAUCCAAGGCUCUCCUUUACAUUCUCAAUUUGGAGGGUGUUAGUCGGGACUAAGUAACAUUUAUGUGAGCAUUCUUACAACAUUGAGCCACUCCGGCCUGGUUCAAUGGAGUUUGAUUAUUUUGUGUUUUCAGACAUGAUUUAUGUUCUUGGUAGACCUGGACUUGUGAAUGAACCUUUUUGAUAGCAUGCUAGGAUCAGGGUAAGGUGGCGGUGGCGGCAUUCCUGAUAUCCGAGUCAAGUGAUUAGCGACCCGGUUGUAAGAGAUCGAUGUCCAGGACAUUGCUGCAGUGAAGUCGCGAUUUUCGUUUACUCUUUUCGGAAGCAACAGGCUCUGCUGGCUGGUGUUCACGCUUUCAUGAUAAAAUCCCGCUCUAUCCCUCUCUCUUUCUUUUCGCUAACUCUACUAGUGUGGCUUUGGCCGAAUCCAGCAGAGAAGGAAAUCGAGUUGACACCAAUUGUGGAGCACUCAUAUGCCCGAAAUGGACAUGAAGCGAUGCUAAGAAGCUCUUUGACGCUGCGUCGGUCGAAAGCAUUGUGCUGUGGACUUCGCUGCUUCAGGGAUAUUCCCAGGAUGCACAUAGAGCCCCAAGACUCUCCUUUACAUUCUCAAUUGGAGGGUGUUAGUCGAACAAAAAAGAGCAUUCUUACAGAGCGUUAAGCCACUCAGGUCAUUUGAAAGAGGCCUGUCAAUACUUUGAAUCGAUGGAGUUCGAUUAUUUUGUGGUUUCCAAGGAAGAUCACAGUGGUAAAGCUGGACUUGUGAACGAGGCCAAGGACCUGUUUGAUAGCAUCGGGGUACGGCGGCAUUCCUGAUGGUCGAACUUAUAUCCGAGCCUGUUGUUGUGAAAGAGAUCGAUUGCUCCAAUGCUGUUAAGUCGCGAUUCUCGUUCACUCUUUAGGCUCUGUGGAUUUGCCAGCUACUUUUGGUUCUUGCGGAUCAGAAAAUCUCUCCAGCUCUCUCUUUUCCUCUUCACUAACUCUAUUAGUGUGUCUUUCCAGGGAAACUCGUCGAAUCCAGCGGACAAGGAAGUCGAGUUGACAACAACUGGACAAGUAAGAUAGUGUUUGUACAGUCCAAGUGACACUGACAACAGGUGCUUCAAAGCGUCUCUUUGAUCUACUUCUAGUUUUUAUCUCAACAAGUUUUCCUUCUCCAGCCUCCAGUGGUAAUCGAAGACGGUGAUGUUAUCCAAUAGAGGAUACAUGGGUGCUGCGAGCACAAAGGUCCAAAUCACCAAUGGCACUGACUAUAUUGUUGUUCUUCGUGACAGGUUCAGGAUGAUCUAUGAUGUGAAGCUGGGAGUUGUCCCCCCAAAAGUUUCUAGAAGUUUGAGGAUCAAGCUUCCCUCUCAAACUUACUUUCGAGUUGCUGUCAUGGUGGCCCGUGAAAAUGAUGAAAUUCCCACUGGUUUGCAUCUGGAUGUCAGGGACUUGGAGCCCCAGGCAGCGUUCUAUAUCAGUGAAGAAAAUGGCACUUUCUAUUUGACAGAUGCCAACGACAAUACAUUCAAGUCAAGUCGGAUGCUGCCAGAUGAAAAGCUUGUUGUCAAGUGAUACUUAGUCCAAAAGGGAAGUAGUAACAAAAACUAAACAGAGCGAGCGAGCUUUCCAACGCCUCUACAUAAGAGCUGCAAAUCCAUGUAUCUUUGCUUGAUAUGAGUUGAGUUGAGUGGAAAUCCAUGUAUCUUUGCUUGAUUUGAGUGGAAGAACAAUUGUAUGAGGUAAAAUCUUCGAUUCAUGAACGCCUGUGACUCCUCAAGUAUAGUUAAGAUGUUUCCAAAUUCCAAUCAGGCAUUAAAUUGAAGCACUCAGAUGCAGCUGAACUGAACUCCAGAGCAGCUCAAAAAUUGUCAAAAUAAAGAACCCAAGCAUUUGCCCGGGAAUCGAACCCGGGUCUGUACCGUGGCAGGGUACUAUUCUACCACAAGACCAGCAGUGCAUUUCAUACUUAAGACUAUACACACUUGACCUAACACGUAAUUACAUUGCUGACUUGGAUAUCCACACGGGACAACGUGGCAUGCCACGUGUCGCUCUAGGCGGUGCCCGAGACCCCGAUAUCGUCUUCCUUCUUGGCGUCCGGCUGGCCAAAGACGGGGCCUCCAUGCCCGGCGGCCUCGUCCUUGUGCUGCUCGUCCGUGCCCAUCUUCACAGGGAUGCCAUGGGCGUCUUCCUUGCUAUCGACGCGCUCCUGGAUCUUGGCGCCCUCCUGGCUCUCGUAGGUGGUGUCGGUGAAAGAUCCCGGGGGAAGAGCUCCCUGCGCUCCAGACAUCGCUACAAAUCCACAAAAUCACACCGAUCCACACUCCAAAAUCCCCUCCAGAGUGAUUCUUCUUCCUCCCCUGGAUCGGAAAAACAAACCCAAAAGCGUCGAGAACACGAAGAGCUUACUGAUCGAUCGAUCGGGUCCAAGGCCUCUUCCACUCAGAGAGAGUUUAUCCAGAUUGGGGAUUUAUAUGCGAGCUCGAUCGUGUCUCGCGGUGACCAGUGUCCUCCCAGGUGUCGAGAAACCAUCCACCGGCAAAGCUAUAUGGAGAGACUAGAAAAAGAGGGAAAAAAUUCCAUGGUCAAUUUCCUUGCAGAAACCUUACAAAAAACUCUCUCUAGCCCGAUCCAACGAUGAUGUUGUUGAUCGGGAUGAAGAUGAGCUUGACGAAGAAUCCGAUGAAUCCCAUCACUACGAAUCCCGCCGCUGUCCUCAGCGCAACCUUGGUAUACUCUGCAAGAGCCCACGAAUCGAUCAAUCCAAUCAGAGAUCUAGAUCUAUAAACCCUAAUUCUCGCGAGAGAGAGCGAGAUCUCUCUUACCUUUGCGAUCCGGCUUGUGGCAGCGCUUGACGAGCCGCAGGCUGUCCUUGGCGAAUUCCUUCAUCGGCCGCACGACCACAUCCACAGCCUCCAUGUCUUCCUUUUCUCUUAGAACCCUAAUUCUCCCCCUGGGCCCUCAAAUAGCGCCACAGUUAAAAGAACCCGUUUAAAAGGCCGAUGUUGACCAUUAGCCUUUUGGUUGAUUUUUGUUGACUUACCAUUCUUCGUUGACUUUAGUUGGCUAUGGAUGCUGGAUGUAAGCUCGGCCUAGGGCGAUAGCCAAUCUAGCGCUUCUUUCCAUCGAGAAGCUUGGGGGAGAGGAUCUAAUUAAAAUCGCGAUUCCGUCUGGGAGAAAGGGCAUGAGCCAGCUCCUCCGUCGCCCCAGCAAAUCCACGCUGUAGUGAUGGAGCCCCGGAGAGAUCCGUGGUCGCGCUGGAACUCCAUCCCGAGGCCGUAGCCGAGCCGCCCACUGUGGCUGCUGCCCGCGAUCAAGCUGAGGAAGAUCGAUCCGUCCCAGCAUCUCCCGGAAGAAGAGGAUAUCCUCGCCGGCAUAGCGAUCGCGAGGAUCGCCGGAGGAGAGGACCGAGAUCCACGCCACGAGAUCGGCCUUUGCCGAUCUUUCUCGCGCUGGCCGUGUCGCCCACCCAUCACUGAGGUGAAAGCCGCGAGAUCUUUCGUAGGAGAUCGCACAAGAACUUCCCGUGAUUGGUGGAGCUCGCCACACUGCGAGAGCCCCGCGACCAUCACUGUCCACAACACUGGAUUCCUCUCGCGCAUCGAUCACGCGGUGGCCACCUCGCCGGAUCGAAGAGCUUGCGCGACGCCUGGAAAUCGCCGUGCCGGGCGUUGACGAUCGUGCUGGCUAUCACGUUUUGUUCCAGCGUCUUGGAUCGCGAGUAGAGCUCGCAGUGAUUCCUUAUAUCGGCCAGCAUCAUCGAGAGUGCACGCUAGGCUUUGUCGAGAGAAUCCUCUUGCUGUUCUUGAGCUUAAGCUUGCGUGAUCGCCGUCCACAUCACGGAUCUCGCUGGGGGGAUCGAUCAAACAGCUCUUUGGAUCGCUGCACGAUUCCAUUCCCGCAGUAGGCCCCCAGGGGCAAGGCCGAUCUCGUGGCGUGGAUCUCGAUCCUCUCCUCCGACGAUCCUCGCGAUCGAGAUGAGGACGGGUUUUCAGAAAAGAGCGUCUUUGCAUCGUCCAGGAACUCGUUCUCGUCGGUGAUAGUCGACUCUUCCUUGUGAAUCUUCUCAGCCAAAUGUAUGGAAAGUGUGGCUGCGUAGACGGUGCUAAGUUGUUUGAUAGCCUGAGGCCACCUAAUGUUUUCUCGUGGAAUCUUUGUCACUGGACCUUGUGUUUCGGGCUGCUAGCUUGUAUGGCGGACUGAGAGCACUUGGCACCAAACCAGACCUUGCAUCUGAUUAGCUUAAUUCCCAUGUCAACAAAGUUUAUGCUUUUUGCACAAUUUAGAUUUGACCCAUCAUCAAGGGCGUGUUCGACACCUGCAAACAAAAAAGUCCAGAAAUCUUGCUUGCAUGGGCAUGUUUUGGAAGCUGGAGAGAUGUUUCGGGAUGCCUGAAAGAAGUUUAGUUUCAUGGGCGAGUUGAUCUCAACUUACAGAAGAAUGGUGAUACUGAGAAGUUUGUGAUUGAUCUCCUUCUUGGAGUGUAAUUUCCUGUAUGACACUACUUAGAGUUAUGCCCAUAAUGGGCAUUUGGAAACUUGCAAGACUGAUCUAAUGCCAGAAAGGAAUGAUAUUUCAUGGAAUUCACUCAUCUCUGUGUUCGUUGGAAAGGAUCAGGUUGAAAAGGUUUUGAGAUCUAGCAGAGGAGAACUAGAUAUGUUCUAGAACUUCUAAGAUUAACUUGAAGGAAGAUGCCACAGCGGUCUAAAGUUUCGUGGAGCAGCCUCCUCUCGUUCUAACCUUUGAGUCGAUGCCCAAGACCAAUGUUUUCUCGUGGACUUCGUUCCUCUCCCCGCAUUCCAGCGCCGAAGAUCCCACACUUGCGCAGGAAAUCUUCCCGGCGAUCAACGAAGUUUCCGUGAAUUCCAUGAUGAAAGCCUUCGCGAUGGCGACCGAUGAGUUCCAAUGAAAAUCUUGGACCGCAAAUGCCCGCGCUACGUGUUUUUGAAAAGGAAUAGAACCAAACCUUUCACCUAUCUAAAGUUUGGUAAAUGGGGGAAAUUUUGAGUAGGAGUAUCUCCUAGUCUAUUCUUCUCAACUGAGCCAUGGAAUGGAGAAUAAAGAUUCGCAAAGCUCGCUCCAGGCUGCAUUGGCUACUCUUGCUUGUUUUGAUUGCUUACCUUUUUAUUGGCCAUAAACUAGAGAGAAGAAUUGGCUCCAGGAAAUGGUCACACCCACGAAGAAGAGUUCCAAGAAAGAUAAAGGCCCUGGUGGAUCUAUGGAGCAAGGUUUUGGAGCGAGGUCACAACAGCACAAAUCUUCCAAGAGCAUUACUUCCACCUCACAUUCAAGACUGCAAAAGAUGUGAAGAGCUCCACACCAAGAUGGACAAUCGUGGAAAGAAUGGUGAAUUGCCUCCUUGGAACCUAUGGAAAGAUCUUGUGGAUGACAAUAUUUCCUCAAAUUCUUCUCUAGCCAUACCAUGGGCAAGUAUAUCCCUUUGGAAGUGUGAAUUUGAUUAACAAAGUAUAUGAUCUAGCAGGUUCAUGGCGGUGAUGACGAUAAUCUCCCUCUAACAAGGCUUGUCCAGCAGGAUUUGUGGCUGCAUCAACACCCCAAAAACUGCAGCAAUGCAAGAUUCCUCUUGGCCCACUGGCACAGCCAGACCGCACCUAUUGGUGUUGGAUCUCAGAUGGUUUUUCUUUCAGCAAUUCUUUCCUCAGCUGUGAGUGAGGGGAGAGUUUUUGUUACACUGCCCUUCUCUGGAGCAGAUCAUGAGGGAUGCACUGGUUGGUUUUUUGAACUUAGAAUUUCUCACUUUCAAUGAUAUUUUUAAAUCCAUGUUGCAGGGUCAAAUCACUUGAGGUGGUCUUGCUACUUUGCUCCAGAGGCCGCUAAGGAAUGCAUUCACAGAGUUUUGGAGCUUUAUUCAGAUGAGUCUGCUUGGAAAUCAGGGAUAUUGAAACGCUCAGACAAUGUUUUUGAUCCAUGGGCUGGUGUACCAAAGUUAAGUUCCAUUUCUCUUUAAUUCUAUAAACUAAAUCAUAGUCAGUAGACAUUGGGGAGAGCCUUGGAAGAAAAUGCAACCAACAGAAGAGCUUGAUGGAAAUCUCAUUGCAAACACCAAUGAGACCAAUGAACGAGUAUGGUGGAGAGCUCAGGUAACUAAACUAUUGAAUCUCGUUGAUUAUGCCAAAACACGUUAAUGAUCAGGCAUAUCGCUAUCUUCUGCGCUUUCCCAGUGAAUACUUAUGCAACUUACUUAACCAAGCCAGGCAUCGAGCAUUCGGAGUAAAUGCCGCUGAAAAGGUCAUGUUGUCUAUUACAAAAGAUUGGCAGCUCAAUUCAUCCCAGCCAGACGAUGCAAAAGUGUGGGUUCCACGACCCAUCGUGAGCGUGCAUGUAAGGCAAGGGGAUAAAAGCUACGAGAUGACCCUCCAUCCUUUGAAGGAUUACAUGAACCUCGCCAACGCUUUGCGAAGAAAGUUUCCGGAAUUGCACAGCGUGUGGCUCUCCACGGAAAUGCAGGUAAGAACAAUCUCACUUCAAGCAUUGCAAUAAAUCUUGAUGAUCUUGCCUUGAUCAAGACUGUGGUUGACGAAUCCGACGAGUUCACAGACUGGGAGUUCUACUUCACGGAAGUGAGGAGGCAAUAUGGCACAAUGCACAUGACCGAAUAUAUGGAAUCUCUAGGUACCAAGACAGCAUUUGACAACAGCUUUAUCAACUUGGUGAUGGCUCUCGAGGCUGAUUUCUUUGUGGGCGCUUUGGGAUCAAGCUGGAGUUACGCCAUCAAUUGCUUGAGAUUGACUGGUGGCAAACUCAAGGCUGGUUUUCUCACAGUCAAUAUUAAUACAGUAUUAUAGGUUUAUGGUUUAAGGUUUGAAGUUAUAAACCUUAAUAUCCCAAAACAGAGAAUAUACCACAUUUUUUAAAAUGUUAACUUAGAACCUUCUCCUUGCCUAUACAAAGUGGGAAGUUUCCUUUUAGUGUAAAAACAACACGCUGCCAAAUGUAUCUUGGCCUUUAGUGCAUCAGGAAUUGAGAGGUGUGAUAACAUCUUUCCUUCCUCGAAACAACUUGAGGAGUAGAAGUUCAAAGCUCGUGAGAAUCUCUGGCAUUUUGUGCUUCGCUGAGUUGCAAGGAACCUUUUGGAUGGAGAUUCUCAGCCAAAAGAGAGAAGAAACAAUCUAGAAAAGUAGCUGUAAUUGUACGAUAAGCUAUGAUUUCAGGGUCUAUAGACAAUCUAAGUCUUGCAUGGGUCUAUUGGAUCCAUGUUUGUAAUUGAGGGGCGAAUGGAUUUGAUUUUGGGAAUUUGAGGAGCGUUACAUCGGUGGCACUAAAGACAAGCAGCUCGUUUUUAAUCGCGUUGCACCAAAAUCAAGCACGGUGACAUCAAUCGUUUGUCUAGCGAAUAGACAAUUGCUGGGGUUCGUAGCUACAAAGAUGUAGUCAAACUUGUCAUGUUUGUAGGCUCUCAAAGCAAAAACAAAAAAAAAAAAAUAGAAAAGUCUUUUUUUUUCUCCCUUUAAAGGACAAGAAAAACGAAGGUUAUACGAUACAGUCAAUCAUCGCGGCCGCCGCAUUACCACAUAACUUCGCUGUGAAUUUACAAAACUUUGUAAAUCGUUUUCUUUAAGUAGCAGCCGCGCAGGCUUUAAAUACCACACACCAUCGCGGGCGGCCUCUAGCAUUUUCUUCUUCUCUCUCUUUUUUCUAGUGCUUGUGGAAGCGAAGAUUUCCUUGAUCUUGAGAACUUCAAUCUGUUCAUGCAGUCGACUUACAAGUUUCAAGCCAAGAUCACAUUCUAGAACUUUAAAUUUUUUUUUUCUUAUCUGGUCAAGGCUGGAGCAAUGCUCCCACUGCACGAAUGCAAAUGCCAAGCACAUGGGAGAGCUUUAAUGUGUAGAUGUUGAUCUUUGAUGAGCGUUUCAUCUCCAGAUCUUAUUAGUUCUUCCAAUCGUCCUCGCUGCGAAAAAAAAAGAAGCUUGCGAAGUCUCUCUCGUUUUUUUCUUCAUUACUUUCUCACCGUUGCUGGUGUGUUGAUUUCUCCCCUUUUUUUUUCGGCUGACAUGUGUUGUUCAUUCUUCAUAAAAGGCUGCUGUUGCUGCAAGCUGAACAUCGCGGCUGUGCAAAUGGUGGUCUGCCAAGGAAAAAGAAAAAAUAAAUAUCAAAAUAAAAUAAAACAAAGACUCAGCCAGUGAUUGAUUUUCCAUUUUUUCUUUUUCCUUCCCUUCUUUUUCCCAGGAAAAGACCAAACCUGUGAGACCGACUCUUCAUCCAUCCCUCUCUUUUACCCUGUCCCCUCUUCUCUUUCUCAUCUUCUCUUUCAGCUAACUCAAAUCCGUCAUUGCGUAGAAGGAGAUAACUUCGCUCAAGUUUAUGAUCUCCAGACUCAUCGACCUCUUCGUCUCAAAAAUCGGAGAUUUUUGACCGAGAGUGAUAACGAACAGCAGCACUCUCGACUCCCUCUCUCCAACUUGACAAACUCUCUCUAUCGACUCAAUGAAGAAAUCCGGUUGAGAAGUUUUACUCACCUCGGUCGCAAGUUUCCAAUCUUUGUUUUUGCGUUCUCCUUCCUCGUAUUUCUUCGCGGUUGAAUCGCCAAUGGAGGGAAUCACCGACGAGCCACAGCGGCAGAGAUUUGAGCAGGGCUACAGGCUCGUCGCUGGGUGAGAAGCAUUGAAUUUGAGCUCCUGGAAUUUCAGUUCGUAAACGAAAUCUCCUCUUUUUUUUUUCUGUCUAGCUGCAUACCAUAUCGGCUCAAGAAAGGAGGCUCCACUCCCCACGCUGUUGUUGACAAUGUCCGAAUUCUCAUGAUCAGUUCGCUCAAUGGCCAUGGCCUCGUCUUUCCAAAGGUACGCGACUGUUUCUUUCUCGUCUGGUUCCUCACCGCGUUUCAUUGUCUCUCGUUCGUCUCUCUUUCGUCUCUCUUUCGCGUCUUCUUCCAGGGAGGCUGGGAGUUUGAUGAGACUGUCGAGGACGCAGCAUGCCGAGAGGCUGCCGAAGAAGCCGGCGUUCGAGGCCAGAUCAAGGUUCUCAUAGUAGUACACGAUGUUCUUGAAGUUUCUCACUCGAUUCUUGUCUAAAAUCUCCCAGGAAGAGCUCGGUCACUGGAUCUUUGCGAGCAAACGCCACGACAUGGUGUGCACCAAAGGCAACUGCAAGGCAUACAUGUUUGCAUUAGAAGUGACUCAAGAGCUCGAGACCUGGCCCGAGCAGGAGGCUCGACGUCGUCAAUGGGUAAAUGCCUGGAGAGAAGAGGAGGAAUUUGGAAUGAACUCAAACUUAGCUCUCUCUCUCUCGUUCUCUUUCAGUUCACAAUUGCCACCGCCAUUGAGAAAGUCCGUCACGCUUGGAUGCGCGAAGCUCUGGAGAAGUGCCGGGAGUAUUUGCAACAGCAAAUCCGCGAUCAACUGCAACCGACCCCGUGCGUGAGAGCGAUAAAUCCUUUCUAGAAAAACAUAGCUCGCACUUACCGGUCGGAUGCUAACAGUGGUUUUUACUUCCAGGACAGAACGGGACGCCUCUAACAAGUGUAACAUAAUGGAGCGUCUCAAGCAGGCAGGACACCCAGAUCCUAUGCUGGAUCUUGUGGAAGUUGUAGCAUGCAUUGUCAACUAACGAACGUUUGAGAAGAAGAAGGUCACCCCCUUCCCCCCUUUUUUUUCUCCAAGAUGGAUCGAUAAACUCAAGACAAUAAGAUGGAUCACAGGCAUGCAAGCAAUGGAAGUCGUCCUGAGUCAAACGAGAAAAAAACAAGAGUCAUCAAAAGUCUGGUCUGAAAAGCUGUGAAUCUAUGUACUUACUUGUCGCGGAAGUUGCAAAGGGGUGCUGACAGCUACCUUAGGCUCUGAGCGGCGCCUUGAAGCAAUCCGACAAGAACCCCUUCUCCUUCAUGGCCUGUGUGAGCCUGUCAGCCUGGAUGUGCCUCCCUUGCUUUCUCAGCCCAUUCAUGAGCGUGUUGUAGGCAACGUAGUCUGGAGCACAGCCCGAGCCUGUCAUCUGCUGGAAGUAAUCCACCGCUUGGUCGACUCUUCCGGCUUCGAUCAGAGCAUUCACCAGAGUAGUGUACGUCACCACGUCCGGGCUAAACUCUCCGUCCGACUUGACCAUCGACUUGAAAAAGAGAAGGGCCUGCGCGAGCUUGCCUUCCCUGCACAGGCCUGCGAGGACGAUGUUGUGGGGGAGGACGUCAGCCACAGUGCCUUUCUCCACCAUGUACUGGAAAAGCCUCACAGCCUCGUCCGUUCUCUUGUCCCGGCACAGGCCGUGCAUGAGCGUUGUGCAAGUCACUCCAUCUGGAAGAACGUUGUGCUCGCUCAUAACAUCCAGAAGAUCUUUGGCCUCGUCCAACUUCCCUGCCUUGCACAGCCCGUCCAUCAAGAUGUUGAAGGUGACAACGUCCGGAACCAACUUCCUCUCGAUCAUCCUGUCGAAGAGAACUCUGGCAUCGUGCACCUUGUUUGUCUUGCACAGCCCGUUGAGGACAACGCUGUAGCUUACGAUGUCUGGAGCGCAGCCGUUGUCCACCAUGGUCGAGAACAGCUCGUGGGCCUUGUCCACCAAGUUGGUUUUGCACAGCCCGUCCAGAAGGAUGUUAUACGUAACCACAUCCGGCACGGCUCCGAUUUUGCUCAUCUCUUCGAGAACCUUGUGCGCAUCGUCCACCUUUUUGGCCUUGCAAAGCAUAUCGAUGACGGCAUUGCAGAGCAGGACAUCGGGGCUGAACCGCUUCUCGGUCAUUUCCUCGUAGAGUUCGAGGCAUCUAGCCAUGUUCCCCACUCUACAGUGACCCGAGAGAACGAUGCUGUACGUUGCGCCAUUUGGAGCACAGCCGCUAUCCACCAUUUUCUUAAACAUUUCCUCGGCCUCGUCCAUGUUGCUUUUUCUUGCCAACCCCAGCAGUAUCGAGUUGUAAGUCACAGUGUCUGGCAUGUAUCCCUUGGCGAUGACGUCUUUGAACAGCUUCAUAGCCUCGUCUGUCUUCUCAACGCGACAAAAGCCAUCGAUAAGUGUGUUGUACGUAAUCAAGUCUGGAGCGACUUUCCUGUCCGCCAUGUCUUCCAGCAGGCUGACGGCCAGAUCAAACUUCUCGCAUUUUCUAAGCCCGGAGAGAAGAGCGUUGUAAGUCACCACGUCCGGUUUGUAUCCCCUGGCUUUCAGCGCUUCAAAGCAGGCCAAAGCAUCAUCAACCUUCUUCUCCUUGCAAAGGGUCGAGAGAAGUGCCGUUGCUGGGACAGUCUGUGGAACGUGUCCUUUCUCGAGCAUCUCGUUGAGCAUAGUGACAGCUUCGUCCACCUUCUUGGACUUGCAAAGGCCCUCUAUCAGAAGUGAAUACGUUGCCCCCUCGUGGCCAAACUUGCCGUCUCGUAUGACCCCUUCAAAGAACUUGACAGCAUCGUCCACUUUCUUCUCAUUAAAGAGUCCUUGAAGCAUAAUGUAGCAAGUUAGCCUGUCCGGCCUCUCACCCAUGGUCUUGAAAAGACCCCAAGCCUCUGCAACUUUGCCUUCCUUGUACAGAGCGUCCAGAAGACCGUUGUAUGCCACAACGUCGGGACUGUAUCCCCUGGAAGGCAUACUGUCAAAAAACUGCUUGGCCUCACUCACCUUCCCCAUCCUGCAAAGCCCGCUGAGAAUUGUGUUGUAAGUGAUGUUGUCAGGCUCGUAUCCCUUGCUCGCCAUCUCUUCAAGUAGCUUGUAAGCCCGUUCGAUGUUCUCGUCCUUGCAGAGCCCGUUGAUGAGCGCGUUGUAAGCAACAGUGUUUGCCGAGCAGCCCCGUUCAAUCAUCUUGUGAAACAGCUCGUCAGCUUCGUCAACUUUGCCCGCUCUACAGAGCCUGUCCACGAUGAUAGUGUAAGUCGCAACGUCGGGAUUCACACCCUUCUCGGUCAUCUCCUCUACCAUCUCCAAAGCUUCGGUCACCUUCCCCGUCUUACAAAGCCCCGAGAUGAUGGUGCUGUAAGUGACAACGUCCGGCUCGAAGCCUUUCUCGGCCAUCGUCUUAAACAGCUCCAUGGCUUCCUUCAUCUUCGUCUCCUUGCAGAACGCAUUGAGCAAGGAGUUGUAAGUGUAGAUGCUCGGCUCCAAGCCAACAGAAACCAUCUCCUCGUACAACCUGUUGGCGUCGUCAACUCUCCCUUUCUUCGCGUAUCCAUCGAUGAGAAUGUUGUACUCGAUCCCAUCCGGACUUAUCCCAUUGUCUAGCAUCUGCCCAAACAGCUUGUAACCAUCCCGGAGCUUCCCUUGCUUGCAAAAGCUCUUGAGCACCACCCGGAAAGUAUACCUGUUUGGAGAGCACUCUCUCAUGGCCCUGAAAGUCGCGUAGACGUCCUGAUAGAGCUUCAUCCGGAAGAGAAGAUCCAUGAGACAAUUGUACGAGUAAGUACUGUGAGAAAAUCCUGCCUGGUCCUGGCACCACUUGAAGAACUCGAGCGCUAUCUUUCCAUCCUUGAAGCACCGCAACACUCGCCCAGCAAAGCUUCCGGUUAAGUACCUGUCCGUGUACGCUCGGACUUCCUCGAAACCAAUCUCUCCACGCUCUAUCCUUUCCACCAGAAUUUCCAGCUCCAGGGGGCCAUUGCUUGGCAGCUUGAAUGUCUUCCUCACAAAUCCGCUGGUGCUGUAGCUCCGGGACCUGUAAGGCGCCCCCGGAUUUCGGGAGGAGAUAGAGUCGCCGCCUUCCCUGGAUUCGGAUAAUCUCGGCAUUCUCACGGAUUCCUCUCGGUUCGCAUUGCCGCUGCCGCGCUUGUCCAGCGCCACAGCCAGUCGCAGCAUGCUCUUGUCGACGCAGGAGAUCUCCAUGGGGGCAAUCAAAUUUGUCCGAGAUUUUCACCUGCACUGACUACAUUCUACGCUCAAUGCGGAUUCGAGAGACACGAUCGGCCAGAAAUCCAAAUCCUACCUCAUAAGCACGUCCGCGCUCGCGAAAUAUCCCCUUCUACGGGCGCAAGAGCCCUAAUUAAACCCUCUAUCCUCAAUUUAACUAUGACCAAUGAAAAUAUUGUUUUACACGUGUUACACAAAGAAAACGAUUUUUAAUUUAUUAAAAUUUAAUUAAUUAUAUUCUCAUUGGAGCCCUGAAGGAAGUACGAUCUCAUUGGAGCCAUGAAAGAAGCUGAAACAUCAAUAAGGUUUUCAAGUGAAUCCCAACUUACAGAGUUGUCUUCUCCAGAAGUUCUACCCCUUUGAGUUUGGGAUGGAUGCAGAUAGGAUCUACAAGGACCAUGUAUAGGGACAACUUAGCUAUCUAGAGAGCCAUCGAAGAUGCAGGAAUUUCUAACAUGUCUAUAUCAAGGGGCUCAUGCUUGCCAGUUUUGUACAAAUGGAUGGUUUCUUGACUUUCACUCCACCCAGAGACAAGGUUUGGAUGGAGAUCAGAAAGUACCAGUUUUGUUGUUUCUAGAUUAUGCAUUUGUCUCCUUUUACUUUUGCAGAUUCACUAUCAUGUAUCUCUCCAAGGAGGACCUCGCAACUUAGAACACUUAACAAAGCUCUUUAUAUUUGCCCUCCUGAAAAUGCCUUGACAAUGAAUGAGCAAGUAGUAUUGUGGGAAGAAAUGAUCAGGAGCACCCUUGAAAAGAGGUGGAUGAGUGAGGAGGAGGUUCUUUUACACAUCAACGGUGAGAGCUUUCAUUUGCGAGGUCUAUUGAUGGGAUUACUUGGUUUUGCAAACACUCAAACUCCAUUGCAGCUCAGAGAGGUGUGGAUGCACAUCUAUCACAAUGCCACUAUGCACUUUGAGUUGGCUCCGGAUGAUGUUGAAGCCACUGAUUUUUAUCUCGAGGUAGAGGAUCCACAAGUAUAAUGUAUGAUUCCUUGAUUAAUAUGAAGCUCCAACAAUGAGCACUAACUUAUUUCACAUAUCCAACCAAAAGGAAUGAUUUAUUAGAGUUUAGAACUACACUUUUGACAACUUAGAGGAGUCUCACUCACAAUGUUCACAGGUCCUCAUUCUAACUUGGGGGAUUUACUAGCCUAAGAGGUGGCCUUAAAGCUAUAUUGCAUUUUCAUUUGGUCCAAGUGUUCUACAUGUUCAAUCUUAUUAUAAACUUUCAAAGGUAUUAGUGAUAGAUUAGCCCAUUAUGCUAAAGCUAUGUCCAUUUGUACUUGUUUUAUUGAUAGUCUAAAAUCAUUUGUAUUAUGGUUAUAUCUCCUAAAGAUUGGGCCAUUUAUUCAUAAGUGGUUAUCCCAUGACCACCCCUUAGCAUCCCACCCUUAAUAUCACUUGUUCAAUCUCUACUAAAUCCCUCUUCAUUCAUGGUAGUACUUGCUAACACCACCACUAGUUUAAAGCUUAAAGGCCCAUCCAUUAAAUCCCAUUAAUCUCUGGGACUUCCUUACCACAUAACCAUACCUUUAGUCAAUAAACAAGAGGACCACACCUUUUCUUCUCCAUAGUCUGGGAUUUUGGAAUGACAUUUUGAAACACUACAGCCCAAUACAAACUUUGUGGGUAUUGCCCCCACCUUUUGCAUUUAAGGUGACUCAGCCAUGUGGCUAAAACAAAGUUUUAAUGAGCCACACAAGGUAUCCAAGUAAGUAGUGCCACCCACAUUUGGAUUGGUUACGUAGUGCCACCCAUAUUUGAAUUAGUCACGUUGGCCUUUCCUAACUAAAUUGGUUCGAUUAGAAUCUAACCCCCACACUCCCUACUAUACUUUGCCCCCCCACCCCUAUUCUAAGUUCUCACCCACAUAUUUAUUUGCUAGAGUUCCAUUUCAGCCACUACUAUGUGGCAUAUUUUCAGCUCCACAUUAAGGCUUAGGGAUUUGUGUUUUACAACCCCCUUUACUAGUUGGCUAAAGCUCUUGGGAUAUAUAAAUUGGAAAAAAGUGUUAAGAUAUAUAUUUGAGUAGUAUUAGGCUAGAUUACCUCUUGAGAAGUCUAAAUUUAGAGGUUUAUAUUAAUUUGUUAUCACAUUUUUUAUUUAUAUUUACAUCAUGUAGUAGAGCCAGUCUUAACAACAACUAUACACAUAUAUGUAUGCAAGAUGAGGUAGACCUAAUUAUGCAUGUGGGUGAUUUUGAGAUUGAAUUAUAACUAUUGUGGGUGGUGCUUAGUCAAGCUUUUGACUUUUUCUUUAGUAUAAAUUGAUUGUAACACAAUAUAGUGCAUGUGGUUUUCACCCUUUAUCCUAUGACGAUUUACCAUAGGAUAACGAUAGAGCGAAACCUAAACCCUCAAUAUGCCAUGUGCCACAUACUAUGUGUCCAAAGAUGGUAGAGCAAAACCCGAGUUUUAAAGCCUUUGGCCAAUGAAUAAAUGAAUGGAGCCAAACUUUUAAGUAUGGAGCCAAGGAGUGAAGGUAUUGGAGCACAAAGCGACUCCGAGUGUAUACCCUAAAGAGCGAAAAGAUAGAAGCACAGAGCAACUUAGAAUGAUUCUAGAGUAGUCAGCAUCCCAAUGUCAGGACUAAUCCACAAAAUGAAGCCAAAUGAAGCCUAGCACUAUUUCAAUAUACUGAUGGCCUAAUGUGAGGAUAUAAGUACUCUACCAGCUAGCAUGGUGUGGAAUUUGGGUUUAUACCCAAACCAGACAUAAAACAACAAUAAGCACACAAGUAAGAGCUAAACUAUACCCUCAACCUACCCACUAACCCCCUCUAGGAACACACGUUUUGGGUUUUCACUUUUAGUCACCCUUAGUACUAGGAGUUAGUAACUCAAAACUUACUAAAUAUGGAAUGACACUAAAUUGAGAAUUUGGGUAUGGAAUGAAUACUAUUAUGUUCAAAACAAUCUUUACAUUCCAUAAAUAUGCCAAAUUAGCAAAUUUAGAUACUUUCUAUAAAUAACAAUUAAGCAUGGAACUAAUGGAACUAACACAAGAUGCAUGAUAAUGAGGGUGUUUGCUAGAUACAGUAACCUAUCAUUUUGUGAAUAUUGAGGGACUAAGCUCAAUAUCACAAAGGCUCUUAACACUUGUAAGUGCAAGUUAACAAAUGAGUUUCUCUAACUAGGUAAAGUAUGUUUGACUAAUAGUACUUAGGAAUUCCGUCUUUAUGCUCUUUUGGUCAAGUGCACAUGCAAAAAUUAAUUUCUCAAGUAGUCUAAGUGGAAACUAAAAAAGGGUCUAGCAAUACCAACCUCUUACUAUUGUGGCAAUAAGGAAAGAAUAUAUAAAAGAACUAGCUAACAAGUAACUUUCAAUACCUAUAGUCACAUUUGUGACACUCUUCCCCUUUUAAGAAAGAUUGAUAUUUUUGUCGAUGCAUAUUUUAGUUUAGAUCACUGCCAAGGAAACAACUUUAGAAAAAGUUCAAAGUGAUCACAUUAUGUGAAAAAUGCACCAACUUAAAUGAGUUAAGGUAACCUUUCCAUCUAACGUAAAUAUGCUACAACUUAAACACAUUCCUGCCGUUAUUGACAAGGAAAUGAUCAACAGAGUUAGCCACCCUUGCUACUCUAGGUGUCACCCGGCUUAUAAAAGAGUGAUGCAUCCUUGCUUACAGGUGAUAUAAAGAGAGAAGCUAAAAGCCCUAACCCUCAUAAGCAAAGAAACCAAAUCUAUUAAUAAAGUUUAGAUAUACUACUAUAAACAUAUAGUUAGAGUUGUUUACACAGUCAUGGAAAGGUGGGUGAUAUGACUAGUCGAUAGUAGCUACCCCAUGACUAGAAAUUUCACUAUGCACACAAAGUGUCAAAGCUAGUCUACUUAUACUAGCUCAAAUUGAAAGAUCAAAAGAUGGAAAAUAUUAAAGUAAAAAACAAUAAUAGCUUAGAGACUUAAUUAUCAGUGAAUAAAGCUUAUAUUAGAACACGAAAGUAUUCCAAGUAAGUUAUUAUUUGAUAAACAAGAAUUAUUGUAUAAGACCCACUAAGAUUAUCAUAAUUGGAAAAUAUAGAAUUCACUAUCCAACAAAAUUCAAUAGCAAGUGUACCAUAAAAAAAACUUAAUGAUAAAACUUAAUUAUCAAAGAUUGUAGAAAAAACUUACAAAAGAUAACUAAAAGAACAUAAAGUAUCAUCGACUAGUAAGUAAAAUGUUUGUGAAUGUAUCACCUAAAGGAAAUAAUAUCUAAACAUAUCAAAACCAACUGUAACAAUAAUUAAUAGAAUAGAAUGAAUGUCAUAAAGCAAACAAACACUUAUUCAUACCAAUUAUCGCACCAACUAAUUUGAAUAGAUCUCAGUCAACCAUACUAUUAGGAAUCCCCCAAUUCUUGCCACAUUCUUGACUUUUGCCAGAUUCCUGACCUGCAAACCACAUUCCUGACUCUCGAGACACUUUUCUAUUCCUCACCCUUUGAUUUCCAGUACGAUUCUUGAGUCUCGAGCCACAUUCCUGAUGAUGAUGUGGCGCCUCCUCGACCUUAGCUAUAUUUAAGCUGUCCUCGAUCCAAGAGUGGUGGAGCUUCAUCAACUUAUAGUAUAUAUAGGUUAGCCUUGUUCCAUUUCUCACAAUUUGAAUCAACGCUAGUCUAAGGCCUCUUCUUUAUUUCCACUAGUUUUUCUCUUUGUCUUCUGUAUUUUCUAGUCUUGAUCUUGUUGGGGGUCUUGACAGUUUAAUUCAGAUUAUGCUUUUUUGUUUUUGCUUUAGCUCGUUUUGAUUGUUUGACUGCCUUGCCUUUUUCCCCCUUUUCUUUCUUCUUUGCCAAUGGAGUCUCCAAGCCAUCCUGAUUUAUUUGCCGAAGUCCUUGCAAAAAUUUAGUUUGAGAAUACCAAGCUAAAGGCGACCCUUCUUCACAUGCAACAGGAGCUUGCUUCACUUUUCGCUCAAGGAUCAAGCAAAGUUCCUGAACCGAAGGUGAGUUUCCCAGCGAAAUUUUCAGGCAAGUGUUCGGAGCUUCGUGGAUUCCUGAACCAAAUGGAGUUGAUCUUCGCAUUUCAACAUCGGCGGUACCCCACUCCCAAGUCUCAAAUCGGCAUGAUUGGGACAUUGCUUGAAGGUGUAGCUUUGUCAUGGCUUUCUUCUUUCCUGGAGAAGAGCAUGAAAGGGGUUGUGGUUUCGGAGCUGAUGGAUCUUCAAUUGUUCAAAGAGAAGCUCGAAGCAUGUUUUGGCGAGACGGAUCAGGUUCGGGUUGCCACCACAAAGAUGAGACGUCUCUCUCAGGGGUUUUGUCCUGCCUCGAUCUAUGCUGCAAAGUUCCAACUCCUUGCCUUGGACACUCAGUGGGAUGAGCAGCCCUGAUUGAUCAAUUUCAUUUUGGCCUCAACAACGGUGUCAAGGAUUUAUUGCUCACCAUGGAGGAUCCCACGGACCUGUCAAACGCCAUCAACAAAGCUAUUCGAUGUGACAUUCGUCUCUUUGAACACCGUCAAGAAAGUCACCGUGCCGCUGUUUUCCCAUCCCAGACUCAGGAAUCCCAGCUUGAGUCUUCGGGGCAUACUCCUGAACCUACUACUCCAGUUCCGAUGGAUAGUUCUGGUACUCCUUGACUCAUCACAGGGGAGUUGAGUCCUACUGAGAAGUAACAUCGAAUAUCUCAUAAUCUUUGCCUCUACUAUGCUGAUCCUAAUCACAAAGCAAUUGUGUGUCCCAAGAAGCCUCCCCGAUUGCUCGAGUUCACUCUGCCUCAAGGUCCACCUCUGUUGUAGUCGGGAAACGACCCUGUCCAAACAAAGUAGGAGCUGUCUGUUUGGACUCCCCAAAUAAAAAUCACUUUUCUUCUUUAUCAAGCUCCUCACCACCUUUCAUCAAAGCCACCACCAAUUCCCGCAACUUCUGCAUCCUAUGUCUCCUUUCUUUCACCAAAUAAUCAGGACUCAAGGCUCUGGUGUUAUUGGACUCGGGUGCAACUUCCUGCUUCAUGGACACGGACUUUGUUGCCCGACAUCACGUUCCUCUUUUUCCUACCAUACAGGAUCUGAGGGUUGAAGGCAUUAGUGGGCAUUUUGUGUUUCCAUUUUCUGGACUUAGGGAAAUGUUGCUCAUUUGAGUACACAUCAGGUCCACUGUCACCGAUAUCACCUUCAACAUCAUUAACAUCAAGUCCUCCUCUAUGGUGCUUGGCCUCCCUUGGUUCCAACUACACCAGCCUCAGAUUUGUUGGAAGGAAUUGCAGCUCAUCUCUCCUAUGUCACCAUCUCCCACGGCUUCCCCUGCUGUUCAUCGAGUCCGAAUUAGGAAAAGUUCCCUAAACUCAAAUUGGGGUUUUGUUCCUGACGUUACAAAGUUUUUACCCUCUUCUUUUUCCUCUUUUCCAUCUUACACUGGAUAGUUGUCGCGCAUGUGACUUCGGGUAUCAAAAGUUACCUGUCGACCUGUCCUUACGGACACUCUUACCUUAUUGCCACGAUGGCAGGAGGUCGGUAUUGCUGGACCCGUUAUUAGUCUCCGCCUAAGCUAGUUGAGAAACUGGUCAUCACAUGUGCACUUAGACCGGAAGGGCACUAAGGAAGGAAAUCCUAAGUUGUCAUUUAGUCAAGCAGACUUGACACGGUGAUGAGAAACUCAUGAUGUUGGCUUGCACUUGCUAGUGUUGGGAACCCCCGCGAUAUUGAGCUUGGUCCCUCAAUAUCGCUACAUGAUAGCUUACCGUGUCUGCCAAACACCCUCGCUAUCAUGUCCUUUGUGUUAGUCUCAUUUUGGUCCCAAAUGCUAUUUAUGGAAAGUGUCCAGAUUUGCUCAUUUGGCAUAUCUACGGAAUGUAGAGAUUGUCCUGAACACAAUGGUGUUCGUCCCAUGCCCAAAUUCGCAAUCUAGGGACAUUCCAUAUUUAGUAAGUUUCGAGCUUGUCCCAGAGACUAACUCCUGAUACUAAGGGAGGCUUGGGGUGAAAGCCCAAAGCGUGUGUUCCUCAAGGGGGGGGGGGGCUAUGGGGGGUUCCAAAUGUAUAGUAGGGAUAGUGGGUAGGUCGGGCAUGGCCGACCAACCUGAGGCAUAGUCUAGCUCCCGCUUGCGUGCCUGUCCUUGUUCUGCGUCCGGCUUGGGUCUAAGCCCAAGUUCCAUUCCAUGCUAGUGUAAGAGACUAAAUUUUCCAUUCUACUUUAGUCACUUAACCACACCACCGACCACUUGGAGGAGUCUCAUUCACAACCUCCAUAAGUCCAAUCCAGGACUUGGGACUUGCUAGCCCCGAGAAUGGCAUCCAUGCCACUCAACAUUUGCACUUGGUCCAAGUGCUCCACGUGUCCGAUCCCAUGACCGACACUCAAAGGUACCACCGACAUGCCAGCCCGUUACGCUAAGGCCAUGCCCAAUCACCUUUGCCACACUGGUAGUCCAUUACCACUUGCAUCACAGUCUUGGCUCUCCAAGACUAGGCAAACCAUCCGUGAGUGGUCAUCUGAGAUCCACUCCUUAGCACCCUUAGGAUGCCCACCGACAUGGGGAAUAGCCUUCCCCAAUAUCCCUCUGUCAGUCCCCACUAAGUCCCUUUCUGCCCCUGGCCGUGUUUGCCAACACUGCCACUUGAUCGAGACCCACAGGCCCGACCACUAAGUCCCACGGUCCUCUGGGACUUCCUCACCACACAACUGUGUCCUUGGUCACUACCCCAGAGGACUGCUCCUCUUCCUUUCCACAGUCUGGGCCUUUGGGGCAACAUUUCGGAACACCGUGGCCUUACGCGAGCCACCUGGGUACUCUCCUCGCCUUCUGCCCUUAGGUGCUCUAGCCAUGGGCUUAGAGCGAGGUUCCGUUGAGCCACGCCUGGUAUCCAAGUAGGUAGUGCCACCCACACUUGGACUAGGAGCAUCGGCCAGUCGAUCUCCCGGGGGAACUAGAGCCGGCUCUUGAACACUUCACCAAGCUACCCCGCUUGUCAGUCCGUGUUCACUCUAGUCUUGGACUUCCCAGUGGGCAGCUCAUCACCCAACACUGGGUCCGGCCUUCCUGGGCCAAACUGGCCUUUCCUUGCCAAACUGGCUCCACUGCAGUCCUCCCCCUACUAUACUUUUGGAGCUCACCAAACCCCCCAGGGUCUGGGAGACGAACGCUUUGGGCUUUCACCCUCUCAGGCUCCGGACUCGGACUCGGACUCGGACUCGGACUCGGACUCGGACUCGGACUCGGACUCGGGCUCGGUCUCGGCCUCGGCCUCGGCCUCGGCCUCGGUCUUUGGUCCCGAUCUCGGUCUCGGUCUCGGUCUCGGUCUCGGUCCCGGUCUCGGUCUCGACUUCGGACUCCAUCUCGGACUCCAUCUCGGACUCCAUCUCGGACUCCAUCUCGGACUCCAUCUCGGGUCCAUCUCGGACUCCAUUUCGGGUCCAUCUCGGGUCCACCUCGGACUCCAUCUCGGACUCCAUCUCGGACUCCAUCUCGGGUCCAUCUCGGACUCCACUUCGGACUCCAACUCGGGCUCCAUCUCGGGUCCAUCUCGGACUCCACUUCGGACACCAACUCGGGUCCAUCUCGGGUCCACCUCGGACUCCACUUCGGACUCCUUCUCGGACUCCAUCUCGGGUCCAUCUCGGACUCCAUCUCGGACUCCAUUUCGGGUCCAUCUCGGGUCCACCUCGGACUCCAUCUCGGACUCUCCCACGUGUCAUGUGUUGGCCCUUUUGGGUCCCUUUUUGGAGCCUCGCCUUUUGCUCGCUUCGUGCUCGUUCCUCGAGCACUUCGUUGGGAGUUCCACUCCCGCUCUUGACUUUUCAAGUCGGAGCUUUUGGUCCAAACGUGUUACACUCGUUCGGCUCUUGCUUCGGCCACUACCAUGUGGCGCCCUUCCGGCUCCACUUUGGGGCCUAGGGAUUUUGUGUCUCACAACUCCACCACCCAUAGACGAAGUUCGAUGUCCUCAUCGAACGGUAAACCAUUUUAUAAAGUAACGCCCGCACGUGUUACCAUUUCCAUCCUUGGCACCUAGCCAAUAUUUGUCAAGGGUUUGACAUUGAAGGCUCACCAUGCCUUUUGCAUAUUCUUCAAUGGUUUGACACCAAAGGCUCACCAUGCCUUGCCCAUCCUCUAAGGAGGGUAGUCUCUCCAACUUAGAGACUGAUUGGACCAUAUGUAGUGGUUCUCUCCUUUUAUUGGUUUAGUUCCCGCUAAACCUCUUAGAGACCCUUCUCUAAGUCAAUCCCAAUACUCCUUCUAGAGUAAUCUCAAUUUCCAUCUAUUGAGCAUUUUGCACCUUGAAACUUUUACCCUUUUGACUUUUGGAAGUCAACUCCCUAGGUGUCUCCAACACCUUGCCUUGCACCUUUUGUGCAACUCCACUUCCCAUCCUAGGAAGUUCUCUACUCGAGGGCACCAUCAUCCUCUCUUCUAUUUCGUGCCAAAGUUCCAGUUAUCAUACUUUGUGCUAGGGCUGUUCAUGGCCCUAUCAUUUGGCUACCUUACCGCUCCCUCCCUUGGAGCUUCCACUUUCGCCAAAUCGGAGCAUUUUGGAAUCCCUCCUUGGAAACACACUUCCUUUCCCGCAACUUGUUAGCGUCCAACACAUUAGUGUUCCUCGCCUAACUUUGUCACUUGGAUUCCUUCCAAGGGAUUCCACGGCCCUAUCUUGGCCACUCAUCUUUUGCUCCUAUCCGUUGAUUGUUGCACCAAGCAACAUCGAAUCUCUACCUCCCUCCUUGAGGUAUUGUUUCGGUUCCAUAGCAAAGACUCUUCUUUGCUAAGUCCGGAAGACGUUCACCCCUAGUAAGUCUCUUUUAGCAUCUUCUGCUAUGGGCUCUAUCCACGGCCCAACUUCGUGACCCUCCCAUGGGUCUUUUAUAGAGACUACUUUCCUCGGACUCACUAUGCCAUCACACGGACAUAGUUUGUUUCCCUUAGGUGCUCUUCCCACUUGGUCAUCACGACCAAGCCACACCACCUUAAACAGUUCAAUUUCAACAUUUUGAACCAGGAACUUCAUUCCUUAGCCAACCAAGGACCUUGUCCUUAUCUGGCCAUAAGAUCACCUAGUGAUCUCACCUUGGCACCUUAACAGGGUUGCCAAGAGGUACUUGGUCUUCUAGACCUCCAAGUUGUUGACUAUAACCCCGGGGGCAUCCCCCACACUUGGCGGUGCACCCAAGCUAGCCCUUACGGCCAAGGGUUCAUAGCAACUGAGAUUAGGUGUCCCCAUCUCACUCACCACGACCUUGGUGCCACUUGCACCAAAGUGUUCAAGUUAGAUAUGCUGAGCUUUCACACUAAGCAAUCUAACCGUGCAUCACGACUCCGAGGCAUCCCUCGCUUGGCGGUGUGCCCAAACCAGUCUCCCCACUGAGAGUCCAUGACCACCGAAAUAUGAGUGUCCUCAUAUUCCAAACCAUCACCACGCCCUAGUGAUUUGGGACUCGAACCCAAGCACUAGAGGGUCGGGACUCGAACCCAACCUCCGUAUAUGCAUCUACGGACGGCAUCACACAAGAUGCCUGGCGUGACUCCCCACGCCGGUGCACCAACUUAUUUUUAAAGCGCGCUACAGAUCACAGCUUAGGAACUUAGUUCCUCCACACUGCCAAGUCCUCUCACUUGACAUGUCUGUGAUCAUGCAUGGACUCCUCCAUGCUCGGCCCCAUGGCCCCCCCUUUUUGAAGUUAUCACCUUCAACUAGGGUAUUUGUUCCCCCGACGUGCCAAUCUCGCUUGGCAAGUCCUCCGACCACUGUAACAUGGUUCCUGCAUAAGCAUGAAAGUCCUUGACCAUCGACUUCCGUUCAAAGCCCUCUCUUUGAACACUCGGGAACUACUUCCCUAACCUUGAUAGCCUUGCCUCAUGGCAAGCUUCAAGACCACGCUUCUACUGCGCCACUCUGAUUUCGCGCGUUCCAUGAACCAUUUACACUUGGCCUUUCUAGGUACUAAGCUACCUAGAAUCGUCUUUGGGAACCUUAAAGGGACUCUGUCCCUCAGCUUGCUAAGGCCUCCCUUUUUGCAAGCCUUCCAAAUGCCACAUAGUCUAACAUGGACAAUUCCAUAUUUUAGACUCUCCAUGGCAUCACGGUUGCUAGCGGCAACACCCUCGAGCCCCCACUUGAUUCUCCACUCCCAGCUAGCAUAACCAACCUUGGUUAUGCCCUUUGAUUUCUACGGUUCGGUUCUAUCCCCUUACUUCUUGCUUUUUUUUGGCUUCACACCUUUCCUUUGGUCAUUCUCCUCAAGAUCAGGAGGAUAGUUUUGCACUUUCUAUCAUGCUUUAGCAAGUAUUCUUAGGGAUGAACCUACCCAAUAGCCUAGGGAGUGGUUCCUCAAUCCGGGUAUGCUCACCUUAUAAUCCCACACACUGGGAUUACAUUGUUGCUUAUGGGCCUUUACAUGCCCAUCACUAGCUUUGCCAAAAUUCCAUUUUUGGCUUUGUCCAACUCGGGUAGACAGUCUUCUCCUGUCUCCGCAACCUUGGACAUUUGGAUAGCACCUUCUAUCCAUCAUUCGCUAGGGACUUAGUCCCUUGGGCUUUAUCCAUUGCCCUCGCGACAUCAAACACCACCUUCUGGUGUUCUAGAGUGUUCGGGUGUCCCAAUGAUGGCUUUCUUGACAAUGAGUAUUUCCUUUUAUGACAUUGACUUACUAUAUCGCAACACAAGCAACUUAUCCCCCGUAAGGGUAUAUCCAACUUCCCUAUGCUAUUAAGAAGUCUUGGGUAGCUACCUUCUACCCAUUUAACCAGUUAUUUUGCACCUCUUGCUUAGUUGCCUCAUAGUUGUCAAGUCCUACAACUCAUUGCUUGGUGCUUUCACACCUCCAUCAUUAUCUGGGUCACCACACUCCAACUGCAUGUUCUGCAGCUUAGGCUAUGCUAUUCCCAUUUCCAUUGGGAUUCCUUUGGCAAGGGGUUCUCAUUAACCCACCAACAUAGCCUCAAGGUAUCACACCUUGGCACAUUUGGUGUCUCCACACCAUUGGCUCCACGAGCCUACUUCUAUGACAUUUCCCCUUCGUGUCUAAGUCUUUGCCAAGACCAACACCGCUCUUUCUCAUGCCAACCAUCCGUUAGCACUGCACCAUAGAGGUCACAUACAACUUUAUGUCAAAGUUGUUUUCUUCUGGGAACACCUUUCCCAUAACUUUAGCAUGGCACAUUUUGCCAUCGAUGAGAUACCCUCUAUUCUCAUCCUUGGAUCCUAUGAUCCCCCCCCCCAUCCUUCGUGGGGUACAACACACCUCAGUCCAAAUGCUUCCAUCAGUCCUUUUAGGACCAUCCGUUGACUCUACUUGAGUCAUCCAGCAGUUUUGGACUUGGUUAAUCCACAGACCCGUAAGGUCCUACUUGUGAGGCACUAGCUCACUGGAAUACACUUCUUGCAUUCCUGUCCUACUCAAAAGGACUAUUUUCACAAGUGUUACUCCGACACUUGAUUUUGUUCUCUGGGGGCAACCUUUGCCCCUUAGGACUACUUGUCCAUGUGAUGAGAACACCAACUCAUCCACUUAAUACACCCCCAACUCCUUGGGUUGUUCCAGCAUUUAUUAGAGGUAGCCCCGGCUACCUUUUCAAGGACUUGAGUCCUCUUCCGUAUUUGACCUCCCACGGUCAUUACUUCUGGUCUCACAUUCAUGAGCACCAACCUCAACUAUAUGAGGGAAAUCUUGUGACUCCUUUAUUGCUUUGGAGUCUUUAUCUUUCCCGUGAUCCCAACUGUAGUUGUUUACCACAACUACAUUAGCCAGUUUGCUAAGUCAAACGCUCAUCUGGAUCACAUCCUCAACUCUCUGAGGAAAACCAUAUAUUGUUCCCAAGAUCCCAAAGUCGUUCCAUUAUUGGCCCUUUUCUAUCCACCAUCUCGCCUACAAGUUCACACAUGAACUGUAGUGGAGAGCCAUGUCUUCCCGACCUGCUACUCCUCAAGGAUAGGCCCACUCCUAGGACCUUUCAAUGCCAACACCCGUGGUGAUAUACUUGAGCACCAAUAAAAGUCGGACUAAGGAACUGCUCCGAUACCAAAUUGUAAGAGACUAAAUUUUCCAUUCUACUUUAGUCACUUAACCACACCACCGACCACUUGGAGGAGUCUCAUUCACAACCUCCAUAAGUCCAAUCCAGGACUUGGGACUUGCUAGCCCCGAGAAUGGCAUCCAUGCCACUCAACAUUUGCACUUGGUCCAAGUGCUCCACGUGUCCGAUCCCAUGACCGACACUCAAAGGUACCACCGACAUGCCAGCCCGUUACGCUAAGGCCAUGCCCAAUCACCUUUGCCACACUGGUAGUCCAUUACCACUUGCAUCACAGUCUUGGCUCUCCAAGACUAGGCAAACCAUCCGUGAGUGGUCAUCUGAGAUCCACUCCUUAGCACCCUUAGGAUGCCCACCGACAUGGGGAAUAGCCUUCCCCAAUAUCCCUUUGUCAGUCCCCACUAAGUCCCUUUCUGCCCCUGGCCGUGUUUGCCAACACUGCCACUUGAUCGAGACCCACAGGCCCGACCACUAAGUCCCACGGUCCUCUGGGACUUCCUCACCACACAACUGUGUCCUUGGUCACUACCCCAGAGGACUGCUCCUCUUCCUUUCCACAGUCUGGGCCUUUGGGGCAACAUUUCGGAACACCGUGGCCUUACGCGAGCCACCUGGGUACUCUCCUCGCCUUCUGCCCUUAGGUGCUCUAGCCAUGGGCUUAGAGCGAGGUUCCGUUGAGCCACGCCUGGUAUCCAAGUAGGUAGUGCCACCCACACUUGGACUGGGAGCAUCGGCCAGUCGAUCUCCCGGGGGAACUAGAGCCGGCUCUUGAACACUUCACCAAGCUACCCCGCUUGUCAGUCCGUGUUCACUCUAGUCUUGGACUUCCCAGUGGGCAGCUCAUCACCCAACACUGGGUCCGGCCUUCCUGGGCCAAACUGGCCUUUCCUUGCCAAACUGGCUCCACUGCAGUCCUCCCCCUACUAUACUUUUGGAGCUCACCAAACCCCCCAGGGUCUGGGAGACGAACGCUUUGGGCUUUCACCCUCUCAGGCUCCGGACUCGGACUCGGACUCGGACUCGGACUCGGACUCGGACUCGGACUCGGACUCGGACUCGGACUCGGACUCGGGCUCGGGCUCGGUCUCGGCCUCGGCCUCGGCCUCGGUCUCGGUCUUUGGUCCCGAUCUCGGUCUCGGUCUCGGUCUCGGUCUCGGUCCCGGUCUCGGUCUCGACUUCGGACUCCAUCUCGGACUCCAUCUCGGACUCCAUCUCGGACUCCAUCUCGGGUCCAUCUCGGACUCCAUCUCGGACUCCAUUUCGGGUCCAUCUCGGGUCCACCUCGGACUCCAUCUCGGACUCCAUCUCGGGUCCAUCUCGGACUCCACUUCGGACUCCAACUCGGGCUCCAUCUCGGGUCCAUCUCGGACUCCACUUCGGACACCAACUCGGGCUCCAUCUCGGGUCCAUCUCGGACUCCACUUCGGACACCAACUCGGGUCCAUCUCGGGUCCACCUCGGACUCCACUUCGGACUCCUUCUCGGACUCCAUCUCGGGUCCAUCUCGGACUCCAUCUCGGACUCCAUUUCGGGUCCAUCUCGGGUCCACCUCGGACUCCAUCUCGGACUCUCCCACGUGUCAUGUGUUGGCCCUUUUGGGUCCCUUUUUGGAGCCUCGCCUUUUGCUCGCUUCGUGCUCGUUCCUCGAGCACUUCGUUGGGAGUUCCACUCCUGCUCUUGACUUUUCAAGUCGGAGCUUUUGGUCCAAACGUGUUACACUCGUUCGGCUCUUGCUUCGGCCACUACCAUGUAGCGCCCUUCCGGCUCCACUUUGGGGCCUAGGGAUUUUGUGUCUCACAGCUAGUUGGUGGAGUACCCAUAUCCUCGCGUUAGGCCACCGGUAUGCCGAAAUAGCGCCAGACUCCGUUUGGCUCCGUUUUGCGUGUUGGUCCUGGCAUUGGGAUGCUGGUUGCUCCAGGACUGUUCCAAGUCGCUCCGGACUCCCGUCCCUUCGCUCCUUGGGCUUCAUGCUCGGGAGUUGCUCCGUGGUUCGGUUUUGUCACUCCUCGGCUCCAUGCUUGGGAGUUUGGCACCGUUCCUUCGUUCAGUGGCCCAAGGCCCUGAACCUCGGGUUCCUGUGGACACGUGGCAUGGACACGUGGCAUGUGACACAUGGCAUCUGUCACGUGGCACAAAGAGGGUUUAGGUUCCGCUUCGUGGUGUUAUCCUAUGGUAAAUCACCAUAGGAUAAAGGGUCAAAACCACGUGCGCUACAUUUGGUAUCAGAGGAUGAGUCUCAGCGAGUACUAUUCAAUGAGAUUGGGCAACUAGUCUCGUUGCAUACGCAGAGAUGAAAACGAUGAUCCAAGUGGGUACACGUUUGGUGCAAAGGGUUCACAUUUGUUCCUUGGGUAUGGAUUUGGUUACCUUGUUGUACCUUAUGAUGUGAGCUUGCUCUUGGGCUCAUAAGAUGGAUUGAGUUGUUCCGUUCGCACGAGUUUGCGUUUGGGCUCGUGAGUGAGGCACAUUAGCAACUCAAGGUUACACUUUGAGUUGGCAAAAUUAAUGUUAGCCUAUUGGUGGUUCCAUGAGUUGUUCCAUGUACCGUGAGUGAAAGCAAACCUUCCCUGAGUUUGCUAUGAGUGGCAAAUAGGCUGGUCCGUAGCUAUUUAGCACGGCACUAGUGGAUCCUUCCUAGGCAUGAUUACAAGUGGAUCAAUCAAGACUGUAGGGAUUAGUCUAUUGGUUCAAGUAAUCAUUGCCGUGCUCUCUUAUAAACUUUUCUUGGAUUGGACUGAAGGCAGUGUGAACGCAAGCUUGAGGUGUAGUCAAAGAUGAGACUGAAAAGAGAGUCGUCGGGGACGAAGGAUCAAACACGUAAAUCAUCUUCUCUUUUGGAGAGAUGAUUUGCAACGAGGUGUGACUCAUUGCUCGUGUUCACAUUAUGCAAUCAAGAGUCCCUAUCUUGAUGCAUGUUGGAGGUGAUGGUCUUACAAGUGGGGUGAGUCAUGGGAUGGAUAGUGGUGAAGCACUAUACCAUUUUGUCUAGACUCGCUAUUGGAAGACUUGAGUUGCAAUGCUCAAUUCUUUUUCUAAGAACCUUGCUAUUGCUCCUUGAGUAGCUUGGUGUUGGAUUAGUGUUGAGUUUGGUCAAAAAGAGAGUGGCAUGAGUUUGUCCUUGUUGUGAACAAAAGUUAGUGGUGCUGAGUGUUGUAAAUCUCUAUCGGUGGAGUGUAGCAUUUAUGUUGCAUUUUGUCGAAUCGAGUUUGCAUUUGAUACUCACAUAAACCUUUGAAGUAAUGACAUAGACAUUACUCGUGGUGUUGCUCAAUUGAUGAUCAAGUCAUUGUGAUUUCUAUAUCAUAUCCAUGUGAUAAUGAGCAAUGUGUUUACGAAGUUGCUUGGUUAAAUGAUGAUCAACCCCAAAGUGGUUGAUAGUGAAGCUAAUCUACUUGCAAGAAGUAUCAUUGUAGUAGCUUUGACGGGAUUCUCGAUAGUGGUCCAUUAUGCUAAGCUUAAGUUGGUACGUUGUUCCUUGAGGGUUUGCCCAUAAGGUGUUGGAAAAAGGGUCGUAGCAUUCAUUUGCUAUAGCUUAUAAGUUGAUUCGUUAACACUUGGAGUAGAUCGUUGGAUGGAGAAGGUGUGUAGUUGAGGCAUUGACAUCGCUAACACUUGUGUUAGUGGAAGUGGCAUUGUUAUUUCAAGUGAUGAGGAUUUUCCUUAGAGCUUGAUUUUCUAUGUCAUUUUUCUUGUUAGUGUUUUAGCUUCACAUUGGAUCUUGAAGGUGGUUGAAGAAGAGUGUUAGUGCAAUGUGGAUAUCCGAAGAUGUGGUCUUUGUGAUCAAGCCUUGGAUGUUCACUUUGCAUUUUACGGAUGUCGGUGUUGGAUGUUGAAAGAAUGGGCAAAAAGAUGUUCGAGGCUUAAGCAUACUAUGGGUCAUGAGAAUUUGUGUUGAGGUGAACCUAUGUGAAGUUGUUAGUAGGAGGAAGUUGGUUGAGUCUUGAAAGUUUGUAUUCCUGGACUGAGAGUCAUUCUUUCUCUAGGAUGGAAAAUUUUUCACAAAUUUUCUUAGACUUUUCCAAUGGCUGAUCUGUUAUCACUUUGUUCGAAAACCAUUCCGUUUUCGUAAGCCAGUACAAACUAGUGAAGGGGUUGGAGUUGACUUCGGUUGGCUUAGAUCUUAGUAGGUAGUUUGUAUGAUGCAACCCGAAAAGGAUGGUAACUUUUGGGGCUAAGGCAAUUGAGUUGGAUAGAGUCUGGAGUUAGUGUAGAAAAGUGGCCAUUGCACUUUUCUAGAAAGGUGACCCUUGUGCCUUUCUUUUGUAGCGUUAUGCUUGGUGGCAAGUUGCACUUUGCAUUUUGUUAGACUCUAUGAGAGUAGUUAGCUCUCACUGAUCUUGAUUUGGUCUUGGUGGCUUUGCGCCUUGGCUAAGGAUAGUGAUGUUCAACUUAGUUGUUUGAGUUUGAGAUGUUGGUACCCGUACUGUAGCUUUGUCUAUGAGGAGGUUGUGUACCGAUAUGGAUCCAUCUCAUGGUCUUCACUUUAGUUUCAGCUGAGUGUUGAACAUGCAUAGCUAGCCUCUUCAAGGCAUGCUCAGAGCUAGUGACUAAAUGCAUUGGUGAGCUUAUCGCGGUUGAGUUGGAUUCGAGUGGUCAUUUAGUUCGUGCUUGUCUAUGAAACUUUAUCUCGUACCUGAGGUAUCACAUUCAUGUUGGACAAGUGUAUGACUAAAUGACGUGAGUUUAGUGUUUCGAUCUCGUGAAAGCAAGUUGAAAAAGUGAUGGUUAGUAGCUUUGCGACUAAUGAUUGCUUAUAGACUUCAGCGAGCAUUGUUUAACACUUGCUUCGCUCGAUGAAGAUUUAUCACUGAUGGGUUUACUUUACCGGAUCGUGUUGUUAGACUUACAUGGGUUUUCCAUGUUGGCAUGUCAACUCUACCUCUAUCGAUGUCAUUUGAUCGCAUUUAGUCCGUGGUGUUGGAUUUCAUUGAGUCUUGGACGUGGUGAUUCACUCCUUGAGGAAGUGUUAUCUGUGACUGAGUAUUGUUGAGAGAUUGAUCUCAGAUACUAACUAAAGUAUCUUCGACCUUGGUUAGCUUGGUUGCUAGAAAGUCUUGAGUGGUGAUACACUCGUGCUUUCUUCUAGCUUUGUUCUAGUGUUGAUGGUAUUGAAGUGAUGCCUUAUCGUUGACAUUGUUGAUGUUGAGAUUUCAGUGAAAUGAGAUGUCUCUCUACAAGAUUAAUGUCGAGUUUCAUUAGUCUUGAUGAAGAUAGUGUUGAUGAUUUGGCUAUAGCCUUGUAUUAUUAGCAUUCGCGCAUUUGCUAGAUAGCAACUGUAUUGACGUUCAAAUGAACUGAGUGGCAAGUUGAGUUAGUUAUGUUCUAGAUGAGAUUAGUAGGGGUUGAGCUUUGAGCUUUUCCUUGAAAAGUGAUUUAGUCAUGGACUAUACUAACUCUACAAGUGGGAGAGUUAGUGAUUGAUAUUGGAAUAUUUGAAUCUUUAUUGGAUUUGAGUUGGAAUAUAUCGAUCAUUGAUGAUUCUUCUUGUGCUUGUUAUGAUGUGAGUUACGUUUUGCUAUAGAUGGAUUCAUGGAGGAUCGUUUGGUGAUCACUUGUUGAGCAUAGCUUUGUUAUGCUUAGCUUUUGGAUUGAUGUAGACAUGCUCUUCAUUAGCUUUGCACUAAGAAGUUUAGCUUAUGGAUGUAUUGAGGAGAAUAUUGUGGGUUGUACCAUGAUUUCUUCUUUAACAUUGAAGUUAGUCCAUGCAAGACUCGUGAUCAUUAUUAGGCAAGACUUGGCUAUAGACUUCUUCGAGCUUUUGGUUAUUUGAGUUUUUGUGCUCAUUGUUCCAUUUGUUAGAAGUUGUUGGGGAAGGCAUUUUGGCUCCUAGCUUCAAUGUUGAAAUUAGUAUUUGCAUAUGGCAAUCAUUGGUGAUGAUUGACUAUCAUCUAAGAUAGUUGAUUAUCCUUGUCAAGGGUUUUGUUUGAUUAUUGUUGGUAUGGAAUGAUUUGCUGUUCUUCGGGAUAGUAGAUUCUUUCUUUGAUGAUGAUUAUGCAUUUCUCUAUUGAUAGGAUGAUUGAUGAUCUUUUAUGGUAGUUAGUUGUUCUCUUUGAUGGCUUUUGGCUUUUUGCAAUACCACAUGUUUUUUGUGGUUUGCUCUGGAUUGGUCUCUUGGGUUUGAGACAUCAGUAGGAUAUGGCUGACACUUGCUUCAGCAACUUGAGUUCCUUAGUGUUGUUGGCUGGAAUCUAUUCGGAUUGGCUAGUGUGAUCGUUAGCAUGAAUGAGUGUUUGUUGGUCUUGCCACAUUCAUUCUGUUGAUUAUUGCUUGAGUUAGUUUUGAUAGAUUGGGAUGUUAUUUCCUUCGGGUGAUACAUUCGCGAGCAUUGUGCUUGUCAGUCAAUGAUACUUUGUGUUCUUUGAGUUAUCUCUAGUAAGUUGUUGCCUUACUGUCUGCUAUCUUCGAUACUUAAGUUUCAUCAUUGAGUUUCCUUGAUGAUAUACUUGCUAUUGGAUUUUAUGGGAUAGUGAAUCCUAUGUUUACCAAUUAUGAUGAUCUUGGUCGUUCCUGUACUACACUACUAGUUUAUCAGAUGAUAACUUACUUGGAAUACUUUUGUGUUCUGCUCUAAGUCUCUAAGAUAUCAUUGUCUCUGACUUUGAUAUUGUCCAUCUAUUGAUCUUUGAGUUUGGGCCAGUAAUGGGCAGACUGGCUUCGGCACUUCGUGUGCAUGGUGAAAUCUCUAGUCAUGGGGUAGCUACUGUCGACUGGUCACAUAACCCGCCUCUUUGUCGAUGUUCCUUAUUCCGUUGAAAGGGCGUGACCGUGUAAACAACUCUAACUGCCUGUUUACAGUAGUCUAUCUAAACCUUACCGACGGAUUUGGUUUCUUUGCUUAGGAGGGUUGGGGCCUCUGGCUUCUCUCUCUAUGUCCCUGCGGGCAGGGGCAUAUCACACUUUUGUAAGCUAGGUGACUCCCAGAGCAGCAAGGGUGGCUGACUCCGUUGGUCAUUUCCUUGUCGGCGACGGCCGAAAGGUGUCUGAGCUGGUAGCGCAUCCACGUUAGACAAAGAGGUUGCCCCCUAACUCAUUUAAGUUGGUGCAUUUUUUAUAUAAUGUGAGUACCGUGAACUUAUUCUGGAGUUGUUUCCUUGGCGGUAUUCUAGACUCGAGUAUGCAUCGACGAGGACGUCGAUCUUCCCAAGGGGGGGAGAGUGUCGCGCAUGUGACUUUGGGUAUCGAAAGUUACCUGUCGACCUGUCCUUACGGACACUCUUACCUUACUGCCACGAUGGCAGGAGGUCGGUAUUGCUGGACCCGUUAUUAGUCUCCGCCUAAGCUAGUUGAGAAACUGGUCAUCACAUGUGCACUUAGACCGGAAGGGCACUAAGGAAGGAAAUCCUAAGUUGUCAUUUAGUCAAGCAGACUUGACACGGUGAUGAGAAACUCAUGAUGUUGGCUUGCACUUGCUAGUGUUGGGAACCCCCGUGAUAUUGAGCUUGGUCCCUCAAUAUCGCUACAUGAUAGCUUACCGUGUCUGCCAAACACCCUCGCUAUCAUGUCCUUUGUGUUAGUCUCAUUUUGGUCCCAAAUGCUAUUUAUGGAAAGUGUCCAGAUUUGCUCAUUUGGCAUAUCUACGGAAUGUAGAGAUUGUCCUGAACACAAUGGUGUUCGUCCCAUGCCCAAAUUCGCAAUCUAGGGACAUUCCAUAUUUAGUAAGUUUCGAGCUUGUCCCAGAGACUAACUCCUGAUACUAAGGGAGGCUUGGGGUGAAAGCCCAAAGCGUGUGUUCCUCAAGGGGGGGGGGCUAUGGGGGGUUCCAAAUGUAUAGUAGGGAUAGUGGGUAGGUCGGGCAUGGCCGACCAACCUGAGGCAUAGUCUAGCUCCCGCUUGCGUGCCUGUCCUUGUUCUGCGUCCGGCUUGGGUCUAAGCCCAAGUUCCAUUCCAUGCUAGUUGGUGGAGUACCCAUAUCCUCGCGUUAGGCCACCGGUAUGCCGAAAUAGCGCCAAACUCCGUUUGGCUCCGUUUUGCGUGCUGGUCCUGGCAUUGGGAUGCUGGUUGCUCCAGGACUGUUCCAAGCCGCUCCGGGCUCCCGUCCCUUCGCUCCUUGGGCUUCAUGCUCGGGAGUUGCUCCGUGGUUCGGUUUUGUCACUCCUCGGCUCCAUGCUUGGGAGUUUAGCACCGUUCCUUCGUUCAGUGGCCCAAGGCCCUGAACCUCGGGUUCCUGUGGACACGUGGCAUGGACACGUGGCAUGUGACACGUGGCAUCUGUCACGUGGCACAAAGAGGGUUUAGGUUCCGCUUCAUGGUGUUAUCCUAUGGUAAAUCACCAUAGGAUAAAGGGUCAAAACCACGUGCGCUACAAUAGUAUCCUCAUCUUAUAAUUCCAUUUAGUUGUACACCUCCUCCUAUCUCCACAAUCACUAUGAAAGAACUCUUUCAUGAAGAAUCUAUUUUCCUUUUUACUUUGCAUGUUUCUCCUGUUACUCUUUUUGAGAAGUAUCAUGAUUUUGGGGAUGUGUUUGACAAGAAAAAAGCUAGUGUACUGCCUGUUCAUCGACCUUAUGACUGUCCCAUUGAUUUACAAGAAGGAGUGUCACCUCCAUAGGGGCCUAUCUACAGGUUAUCCUUGUCUGAGCUUAAGGCUGUCAAGACCCCCAACAAGAUCAAGACUGGAAAAUGCAAAAAGACAAAGAGAAAAGCUAGUGGAAACAAAGAAGAGGCCUUAGACUGGCGUUGAUUCAGAUUGUGGAGAAAUGGAACAAGGCUAACCUAAUAUAUACUAUAGGUUGAUGAAGCUCCACCACUCUUGGAUCGAGGACGGCCUAAAUAUAGCUGAGGUCGAGGAGGUGCCACAUCAUCAUCAGGAAUGUGGCUCGAGACUCAGGAAUCGGGAAGUGUCUCGAGAGUCAGGAAUAGGGAAGUGUCUCGAGAGUCAAGAAUAGGGAAGUGUCUCGAGAGUCAGGAAUGUGGUCUGCUGGUCAGGAAUCCGGCGAGAGUUAGGAAUGUGGCAAGAAUUGGGGGAUUCCUGACAGCACCCCCUCCUCAAGAACGAGUGGAACGAGGAUGUGAACGAGAACGAAGAAGAGGAUGAGAUGAGCGGCGAGGGAUGGGAGAUGAAGAAAAAGAAUGAGGACUGGGACGAGAAGGAUAGCAGCGGUGGAAGUCCUGAACAAGGUCAGGAGAAUGAAUCAGGUUGUCCGCAGGUUCCCAAGUGCGUUCCUCAGGUCCGUAACCCUUCCAGUCUACCAGAUAGUAGAGUUUAGACCGUGAAAUCUUGGAAUCAAGGAUGUCCUGAACCUCGUACUCAGACCCAUCCUCGAGCUGCACUGGUGGAGGCGGAGAAUGACCCGAUUUGGAAUAGGACUGGGAAUAUAAGGCUUAAGGAGAGAGGAGUGAAAAACGGGGUGAAUUUGAUAUGAGGAGGGAAGUGCAAGGCGAUAAGUCACAGGAUUAAUGAUGGCAGUGAUAGGAAAAGGACCAAGGCAUUUGAAAUCGAGUUUUGGACAGGGCCUGGUGGUGGAGAUAUUUCGCCUGAGGAGCCAGACUUUAUCCCCGAUAUUGUAAGGGGGACAAUCCUGACGAUGGACAUUGGCAAAUGUUUUAUGAGAUUCCUGAGCACGAUGGAGGUGGAAGGAGAUAGAGUUGUGGAUUUUCUGGAGGUUGGAGAUAAAUGCCUCAGAGCGGGGAUUUGAACGAGAGGAUUCAGAUGGAGAAGGAAGUGAGAGAUUGAAUUGGGGAUUUCGGCCAGAGUUCGCAAAGAAGGGGGAAACUCGAAGAGAGGAGUGAACAGAGUUGUUAUAGGAGAACUCAGCAAGGGGAAGGAUAUCGAACCAGUUAUCCUGAUGAUAGUUGAUGAAGCACCUCAAGAAUUGUUCCAACGUUUGAAUCGUUCGCUCGAACUGCCCAUCAGUUUGAGGAUGAUAUGCCGAAGAGAGGUUGGCCUUCACUCCAAGUAGUUGCAAAAACCGUUGCCAGAAAUGAGAGAUGAACUGAGGCCCCCGAUCCGAAACCACAUCUGUAGGAUUCCCAUGAAGUCAGAAAAUUUCCCUGAAUACCAGUUUUGCCAUGUCCUCACCCAAAAACUCCUUGGUACAUGGCAGGAAGUGCGCCAUCUUUGUGAAGCAAUCCACCACGACUAAAAUGCUGUUGAAGCCUCCAGAACUCGGAAGAUCACUCAAGAAAUCCAUGGAGAUGGAUUCCCAAGGACCGAAGGGACCGAAAGGGAACGAAGCAAACCUGAAGGAAGGUGGCGAGGUACCUUAUUCCAGGCACAAGUGUCACAGGAGGUAACAAAAGCUUUUAUGUAGUCAUCCAUGUGAGGCCACCAAAAGUCCCGUGCAACUAGCUCAUAGGUUUUCGCAAUGCCGAAGUGACCAGCAGUUGGGCUAUCGUGGCACGCCAUCAGGACCAACCUUCAAGCAUCACCUUCAAGAACGUAAAGCUGCUCCCCACGGUACAAUAAGCCAUCUAAGAACUCGAACUCGUCAAAUCGCCGGCAGUCGAGAGUCACUGGGUGUCCAGCCUAAAGAUGGGGGAAGAUGUCGCUAGCGAGAUCAUCAGAUUGAAGAUCAUUUCUGAUUGCAUCCAUCAAGGAGGAGUCCUGAGGGGCCAGGGAAAUUGCCAUAACUUGAAGCCGAUCAGGACCGAGGAUAACUUGAUCCUGUUGAUCGAAGGCAGGAUUACCAGGCCUGAGACUGAGAUAGGAGCGCCUUGAAAGAGCAUCAGGAAGGCCUUGAAACUUUCCAGGUCUGUAGUUGAUAACAAAGUCAAACCGACUCAGGAAUUGUGCCCACCUUGCUUGACAAUGGCUUAAAACUCGGGAAGUGGCAAAGUACUCGAGAUUUUUGUGAUCCGUUUAGACUGUUGUUUGAUGGCUCGCCCCCUCCAAGAAACGGCACCACUCUCCAAAGGAAUCCACGAUGGCAAGGAGCUCCUUGUCGUGGAUUUCGUAAUUGAUCUCCGCAGGCUAGAAUUUCCAAGAAUGGAAAGCGACCGGAUGAAGUUCGUGAUCCGCUCCGAGUUGAGACAGCACAGCACCAAUGGUAAAGUCGGAGGCGUCAGCCUCGAUGAAGAAAGGUUGUGAGGAAUCAGCAUGGAUCAAGACAGGAGCAGAACUGAAAGCCGCCUUGAGUGUGUCGAAGGCCUGCUGGGCAGCAGCAGACCAAGAGAAGGGAACAUCCUUGCGAGUGAGAUGUGUGAGAGGAAGGACAAUGUUAGAGUAGUGAUCAAUGAAUUUGCGGUAGAAGUUGGCGAAGCCAAGGAAAACCUGAACGUCCGACAUUGAUUGUGGAGGCUCCCAUUCGAGAAUAGUCUUGACUUUGGCAGGAUCCAUCGUGAUACCCUCAGGAGUGACAAAGUACCCAAGGAACUCCACAGACUGCUGAUCAAAGGAACAUUUCUCAAGCUUCGCAUAUAGGCCGUGUUCUCGCAGCUUCGCUAGCACCUUGCGUACAUGUUCGUCAUGCUCCUCCUGAGUUUUUGAGUAGAUGAGGAUGUCAUCGAGGUAGACGAUCACCAUCUGAUCAAGAAACUCCCGAAAGACAUCGUUCGCCAUGUGUUGGAAAACUGCUGGAGCAUUUGUCAAGCCAAAUGGCAUGACAGUGUACUCGAAGUGGCCAUAGCGGGUUCGGAACGCAAUCUUCCAUUCAUCACCAGGUCGGAUCCAGAUCAGGUUGUAUGCUCCACGGAGGUCGAUCUUGGUGAAGAAGCGGGCACCGCCGAGGCGUUCCAACAGGUCCGAGAUCAGGGGCAGCAGAUAACAAUUCCGAACAGUGACCUUGUUCAAACCUCGAUAGUCGAUGACUAGCCGCAAGCUCCCAUCCUUCUUCUUGACAAAAAAGACAGGUGCUCCAGCCGGGGACUGCGAAUGCUGAAUGUAGCCCGAGGCAAGGUUCUCAUCCACAUACUCUUUGAGGGCCUUAAGCUCGGACGGGGAUAACCCGUAGAUAGGCCCCCAUGGAGGUGACGCUCCUUCCUGUAAAUCAAUGGGACAAUCAUAAGGCCGAUGAACAGGCAGUACACUAGCUUUUUUCUUGUCAAACAAAUCCCCAAAAUCAUGAUACUUCUCAGGAAGACUGACAGGAGAAACAUGCAAAGCAAAAAGAAAAAGAGGUUCUUCAUGAAGGAGUUCUUUCAUAGUGAUUGUGGAGAUAGGAGGAGGUGUACGACUAAAUGGAAUGAUGAGACGAGGAUACGGUCCAGUGUAAGAUGGAAGAGAGGAAAAAGAAGAGGGUGAAAACUUUAUAGAGUCAGGAACAGAACCCCGAUUUGAGUUUAGGGAACUUUUCCUGAUUCGGACUCGAUGAACAGCAGGGGAAGCUGUGGGAGAGAUGAGCUGUAAUUCCUUCCAAUAGAUCUGAGGCUGAUGUAGUUGGAACCAAGGAAGACCGAGCACCACAGAGGAGGACUUGCUGUUGAUGAUGUUGAAGGCGAUAUCGGUGACGGUGGAGCCGAUGUGUACUCGAACGGGCAACGUUUCCCUAAGUCCAGAAGAUGGAGACACAAAAUGCUCGCCGAUGCCUUCAACCCUCAAAUCCCGUAUGGUAGGAGAAAGAGGAACGUGAUGUCGGGCAGCAAAGUCCGUGUCCAUGAAGCAAGAAGUUGCACCCGAGUCCAGUAACGCCAGAGCCUUGAGUCCUGAUUGUCCAGUGAAAGAAAGGAGACAUGGGACGCGGAAGUUGUGGGAAUUGGUGGUGGCUUUGAUGAAAGGUGGUGAGGAGCUUGAUAAAGAAGAAAAGUGAUUUUUAUUCGGGGAGUUCAAACAUACAGCUCCUACUCUGUUUGGACAGGGUCGUUUCCCGACUGCAAUAGAGGUGGACUUUGAGGCAGAGUGAACUCGAGCAGUCGAGGAGGCUUCUUGGGACAUACAGCUGCUUUGUGAUUAGGAUCAGCACAAUAGAGGCAAAGAUUAUGAGAUAUUCGACGUUGCUUCUCAGCAGGACUCAACUUCCCUCUAAUGAGUCGGGGAGUACCAGAAAUAUCCAUUGGAACCGGAGCAGUAGGUUCAGGAGUAUGCCCCGAAGACUCAAGCUGGGAUUCCUGAGUCUGGGACGGAAAAACAGCGGCGCGGCGACUUUCCUGACGACGUUCAAAGAGACGAUUGUCACAUCGAACAGCUUUGUUGAUGGCAUCCGACAAGUCCUUGGGAUCCUCCAUGGUGAGCAACAAAUCCUUGACACCGUUGUUGAGGCCGAAACGAAAUUGGUCAAUCAGGGCCCGCUCAUCCCACUGAGUGUCCAAAGCAAGGAGUUGGAACUCUGCAGCGUAGAUCGAGGCAGAAUGAGACCCCUGAGAGAGACAUCUCAUCUUUGUGGUAGCAGCCCGAACCCGAUCCGUCUCGCCAAAACAUGCUUCGAGCUUCUCUUUGAACAAUUGAAGAUCCAUCAGCUGUGGAACCACGACCCCUUUCAUGCUCUUCUCCAGAAGAGGAGAAAACCAUGACAAAGCUGCACCUUCGAGCAACGUCCCAAUCGCGCCGAUUUGAGACUCGGGAGUAAGGUACCGCCGAUGUUGAAGUGCGAAGAUCAACUCCAUCUGGUUUAGGAAUCCGCGAAGCUCCGAACUCUUGCCUGAAAAUUUCGCCGGGAAACUCACCUUCGGUUCAGGAACUUUGCUGGAUCCUUGAGCCGAAAAUGAAGCAAGUUCCUGCUGCAUGCGAAGAAGGGUCGCCUUCAGCUCAGUAUUCUCAGACUAGAUUUUUGCAAGGACUUCAGCAAAGAAAUCAGGAUGGCUUGGAGACUCCAUUGGCAAGAAGAAAGAAAAAAGGGGGAAAAAAAGGCAAAGGUAAUCAAACAAUCAAAACGAAAAUCAAAAAACGAAAAAACACAAUCUGAAUCAAACUGUCAAGACCCCCAACAAGAUCAAGAUUGGAAAAUGCAAAAAGACAAAGAAAAAAGCUAGUGGAAACAAAGAAGAGGCCUUAGACUGGCGUUGAUUCAGAUUGUGGAGAAAUGGAACAAGGCUAACCUAUAUAUACUAUAGGUUGAUGAAGCUCCACCACUCUUGGAUCGAGGACGGCCUAAAUAUAGCUGAGGUCGAGGAGGUGCCACAUCAUCAUCAGGAAUGUGGUUCGAGACUCAGGAAUCGGGAAGUGUCUCGAGAGUCAGGAAUAGGGAAGUGUCUCGAGAGUCAGGAAUAGGGAAGUGUCUUGAGAGUCAGGAAUGUGGUCUGCAGGUCAGGAAUCCGGCGAGAGUUAGGAAUGUGGCAAGAAUUGGGGGAUUCCUGACAAAGGCCCUCAAAGAGUACGUGGAUGAGAACCUUGCCUUGGGGUACAUUCAGCAUUUGCAGUCCCCGGCUGGAGCGCCUGUCUUCUUUGUCAAGAAGAAGGAUGGGAGUUUGCGGCUAGUCAUUGACUACCGAGGUUUGAACAAGAUGAUUGUUUGGAACCUUGGAACUUGAUCCGGAUCCGGCCUGGUGAUGAAUGGAAGACUGUGUUCUGAACCUGCUAUGGCCACUUCGAGUACACUGUCAUGCCAUUUGGCUUGACAAAUGCUCCAGCAGUUUUCCAACAGAUGGCGAAUGACGUCUUUCGGGAGUUUUUUGAUCAGAUGGUGAUCGUCUACCUCGAUGACAUCCUCAUCUACUCAAAAACUCAAGAGGAGCACAACAAGCAUGUGCGCAAGGUGCUGGCAAAGCUGCGGAAACAUGGCCUAUAUGCGAAGCUUGAGAAAUGUUCUUUCGAUCAGGAGUCUGUGGAGUUCCUUGGGUACAUUGUCACUCCUGAGGGUAUCACGAUGGAUCCUGCCAAAGUCAAGACUAUUCUCGAAUGGGAGCCUCCACAAUCAAUGUCAGACGUUCAGGUUUUCCUUGGCUUCGCCAACUUCUACCGCAAAUUCAUUGAUCACUACUCUGACAUUGUCCUUCCUUUCACGCAUCUCACUCGCAAGGAUGUUCCCUUCUCUUAGUCUGCUGCUGCCUAGUAGGCGUUUGACACACUCAAGGCGGCUUUUAGUUCUGCUCCCAUCUUGAUCCAUGCUGAUCCCUCACAACCUUUCUUCAUCGGGGCUGAUGCCUCCGACUUUGCCAUCGGUGUUGUGCUGUCUCAACUCGGAGCGGAUCAAGAACUUCAUCCGGUCGCUUUUCAUUCUCGGAAAUUCCAGCCUGUGGAGAUCAAUUACGAAAUCCACGACAAGGAGCUCCUUGCCAUCGUGGAUUCCUUUGGAGAGUGGCGCUGUUUCUUGGAGGGGGCGGGCCAUCAAAUAACAGUCUGGACGGAUCACAAAAAUCUCAAGUACUUUGCCACUUCCCGAGUUUUGAGCCGUCGUCAAGCAAGGUGGGCACAAUUCCUGAGUCAGUUUGACUUUGUUAUCAACUACAGACCUGGAAAGUUUCAAGGCCUUCCUGAUGCUCUUUCAAGGCGCUCCUAUCUCAAUCUCAGGCCUGGUAAUCCUGCCUUCGAUCAACAGGAUCAAGUUAUCCUCAGUUUUGAUCGAUUUCAAGUUAUGGCAAUUUCCCUGGCCCCUCAGGACUCCUCCUUGGUGGAUGCGAUCAGAAACAAUCUUCAAUCCGAUGACCUCACCAGCAACAUUUUCCCCCAUCUUUAGGCUAGACACCCAAUGACUCCCAACUGCUAGCGAUUUGAUGAGUUCAAGUUCUUAGAUGGCUCGUUGUACCGUGGGGAGCAGCUUUACAUUCCUAAAGCUGAUGCUUGAAGGUUGGUCCUGAUGGCAUGCCACAAUAGCUCGACUGCUAGUCAUUUCGGCAUUGUGAAAACCUAUGAGUUGGUUGCACGGGACUUUUGGUGGCCUCACAUGGACGACUACAUCAAAGCUUUUGUUACCUCCUGUGAUAGUUGCACCCGGAAUAAGGUACUUCACCACCUUCCUUCAGGUUUGCUUUGUUCCUUCCCAAUCCCUUCAGGUCCUUGGGAAUCCAUCUCCAUGGAUUUCUUGAGUGAUCUUCUGAGUUCUGGAGGCUUCAACAGCAUUUUAGUUGUGGUGGAUUGCUUCACAAAGAUGGCGCACUUCCUGCUGUGUACCAAGGAGUUUUCGGGCGAGGACAUGGCAAAAUUGGUAUUUAGGGAAAUUUUCUAGCUUCAUGGGAUUCCUGCAAAUGUAGUUUUGGAUCGGGGACCUCAGUUCAUCUCUCAUUUCUAGCAAUGGUUCUUGCAGCUGCUUGGAGUGAAGGUCAACCUCUCUUCGGCGUAUCAUCCUCAAACUGAUGGAAAGUCUGAGUGAACAAUUCAGACGUUGGAACAAUUCCUGAGGUGCUUCAUCAACUAUCAUCAAGAUGACUGGUUUGAUAUCCUUCCCCUUACUGAGUUCUCCUAUAACAACUCUGUUCACUUCUCUCUUCGAGUUUCCCCCUUCUUUGCAAACUCUGGUUGAAAUCCUUGAUUCAAUCUCUCACUUCCUUCUCCAUCUGAAUCCUCUUGUUCAAAUCCCCGCUCUAAGGCAUUUGUCUCCAACCUCCAGGAAAUCCACAACUCCAUCUCCUUCCACCUCCAUCGUGCUCAGGAAUCUCACAAAACAUUUGCCAAUGUCCAUUGUCAAAAUUGUCCCCCUUACAAUAUCGAGGAUAAAGUUUGGCUCCUUAGGUGAAAUAUCUCCACCACCAAGCCAUUUCCCAAACUCAAUUUAAAAUGCCUCGGUUUUUUCCCUAUCAUUGCCAUCAUUAAUCCUGUCACUUAUCACCUUCCUGUAAGCAACCAAAGGGAACGACUCGAGAGACGAUCCAUGGGGUUCAAAUAUAGAGGGAAAGGGCCCAUGAACAAGAGUGCACCCCCUUUUCCAAUUGGUUAAGGGUCUUGGGAUACUUGGAGUUAAGCGUCCUUGGGGUUGAAUAGUACUGGGCUGGGUGACCUCCCGGGAAGUCCAAACUCAGGAGUUUACAUUUGGUAUCAAAGCGGUCUCGGGUCCGACUCUGUUGGUUGGCUAAAGGAAUCACACCACAUGUUGAUUGACAUCUGGCUGGUCCAGUUUGCUCCUGCUGGGCUCGACCCGAGGGGUAGGGUGUCAAGAGAGCGGGGCUCUCGGGAGAGCUGCGGCUCUCAGCUUCCGUUCACGAGGGCGUGAACUUGCAGAGAAGCGUGGUGGAUUGUAAGAGAGCGGGGCUCUCGGGAGAGCUGCGGCUCUCAGCUUCCGUUCACGAGGGCGUGAACUUGCAGAGAAGCGUGGUGGAUUGUAAGCAACCAAAGGGAACGACUCGAGAGACGAUCCAUGGGGUUCAAAUAUAGAGGGAAAGGGCCCAUGAACAAGAGUGCACCCCCUUUUCCAAUUGGUUAAGGGUCUUGGGAUACUUGGAGUUAAGCGUCCUUGGGGUUGAAUAGUACUGGGCUGGGUGACCUCCCGGGAAGUCCAAACUCAGGAGCUUACACUUCCACUUCCCUCCUCAUAUCAAAUUCAUCCCAUUUUUCACUCCUCUCUCCUUGAGCUUUAUAUUCCCAGUCCUAUUCCAAAUCAGGUCAUUCCUCUACCUCCACCAGUGCAGCUUGAGGAUGGGUCUGAGUACAAGGUUUAGGACAUCCUUGAUUCCAAGAUCUCACGGUCUAAACUCUACUAUCUAGUCGACUGGAAGGGUUAUAGACCUAAGGAACGCACUUGGGAAUCUGUGGACAACCUGAUUCAUUCUCCUGACCUUGUUCAGGACUUCCACCGCCGUUAUCCUUCUCGUCGCAAUCCUCAUUCUUUUUCUCCAUCUUCUGUCCCUCGCCGCCCAUCUCAUCCUCCUCUUCGUUCUUAUUCACGUCCUCGUUCCAUUUGUUCUUGAGGAGGGGGUGCUGUCAGGAAUCCCCCAAUUCUUGCCACAUUUCUGACUCUCGCUGGAUUCCUGACUUGCAAACCACAUUCCUGACUCUCGAGACACUUCCCUAUUCCUCACCCUUUGAUUUCCAGUACGAUUCCUGAGUUUCGAGCCACAUUCCUAAUGAUGAUGGGGCACCUCCUCGACCUCAGCUAUAUUUAAUUCGUCCUCGAUUCAAGAGUGGUGGAGCUUCAUCAACCUAUAGUAUAUAUAAGUUAGCCUUGUUCCAUUUCUCCACAAUCUGAAUCAAUGCCAGUCUAAGGCCUCUUUUUCGUUUCCACUAGCAUUUCUCUUUGUCUUUUGUAUUUUCUAGUCUUGAUCUUGUUGGGGGUCUUGACACAUACUAAGUAACUCAAGUUGCUCAAAUAAGAGUCAACUACAUCCUAUUAAUGUCUCAAACCCAAGAAACCAAUUUAGAGUAACCACAAAGUACAUGUGGUAAUAUGAAAAAGUAUAUACUAUCAAAGAGAACAACUAACUAUCAUAAAAAAUUAUUAAUCAUCCUAUUAAUAAAGAUAUACAUAAUUACCAUUGAAGAAACAAUCCACAAUCUCGAAGAAUGGCAAAUCCUUCAACAUCAAUCAUAAUCAAGCAAAACUUUUUGACAUGGAUAAUCAACUAUCUUAAAUGAUAGUUAAUCAUCACCAAUGAUUGCUAAAUGAAAAUACCAACUUCAAUAUCGAAACUAAUGAAUCAAAAUGCCUUCCUUAACAUCUUUUAAACAUGGAGUGAAGGAGUGAAGGUAUUAGAGCAUGGAGCGACCCUCAAGCAUACAGCUUAAGGAGCAAAGGGACAGGAGCAUAGAGCAACUUAGAAUAAUCUUAGAACAUAUAACAUCUAAUGCCAAGAUUAACAUGCAAAAUGGAGCUAAAUGAAGUUUGGUGCUAUUUAAGGAUAUUGGUGGUUUAACACGAGGAUAUGAGUACUCCACCAACUAGCAUAGUGUGGAAUUUGGGUUUAAACUCAAGUCAAACACAGAACAAAAGCAAACACACAAGCAAAAGCUAAAUUAUGCCUCAGGUUGGUAGGCCAUGCUUAACCUACCCAUUAUCCUUAGUAUACAUUUGGAACCCCCCACCUCCUUAAGAAAUGCAUGUUUUGGGUUUUCACCCUUAGUCACCCUUAGUACCAGCAGUUAAUCUUUAGGACUAACAAAUUUAAACAUUUUCCAUAAAUAGCAAUUAAGAUUGAACAGAAUUACACAAGGUACAUGAUAGCAAGGGUGUUUGGCAAACACGAUAAGCUAUCAUUUUGCAAAUAUUAAGGGACCAAAUUCAAUAUUAAAGAGGUUCCUAACACUAGUAAGUGCAAGUCAACAAAUGAAUUUCUCUAACCAAUUUAACUAAUAGCACUUAGGAAUUUUGUCUUUAUGCUCUUUUGGUCAAGUGUACAUGCAAAAACUAGUUUUUCAACUAGCUUAGGUGGAGAUUGAAAAAGGGUUUAACAAUACUGACCUCUUGCCGUCAUGGCAGUAAAGAAAAAAUAUCCGAAAGGACUAACCAAUAGGUAACUUUUGAUACUUGCAGUCAUAUUUGCAAUAUGCAAUCAUAUCAAAUAUAACUUCAAGGUAUAUCCCCUUUAUUUUAUACUUCUUAUUUAUUCCAUUCCUUUCACUUUGUUCCAUUUAUUAUUUUGUUUCUUUUUAUACUUUUAUCACUUUUGUCUCCUUAUUAUUUCCUACCAUAUUUCCUUCUAAUUCUUCUAUUCCUCCCUAGAUCCCUUAACUAGUCUUUGUGUCAUGGCAAUUGACUAGAUUACGUAGAAGUAUAUUGAUCUCUUCGACUUUGAAAUAUCAUCUAGUGCCAAGAUUGCACUAUAUUAAUCUAUUCUAAUUGGAGAUGCUCAUUCAAUCAAGAUUCAUCCAUCACCAAAGAAGAUCAAGAUAUUAUAAGCAAAUAUUUAGGAGAUGUUAAAGAAAUGUGUUAUUCAAAAAUCUCAAAGUCCUUGAAUGUGUGAACUUCAUUUUGUGACGAAGAUGGAUAGGAGUAUCUAAUUCUAUAUCAAAUAUUGUCUAUUAAAUGUUAUAACUAUCCCAAAUGUGUACACUCUUCCUUAUACUAUUGAUCAUUUAGAUUAUUUAAAGAGAAGUUUUUAAUUCAUCAAGUUGGUGUAUACAAAAAAAAAAAAACUUAAAAUAGAGUUCAAAUAUAGAAGGAUAUAAGAAUGCACCCUCUUUUUUAAUUGAUUAAUGAUUUUAGGAUUUUUGUAACCAACUGUAAAUUGUAAAUUGUAACCAACUAAAAAGAAUGACUUGAGAGACAAUCCAUUAUGGUUCAAAUAACCUAUAAAUAACAGUGCAUCCUUUUUUCCAAUGGUCUUGAGAUAUUUAAAGUUAAACAUCCUUGAAUUUAAGUAGUUGAUCAAAGUUACUAGGCCUCUAAUUUCAAAAUCCUCCAAUCAUCACCAUCAAGAUUGUUAGACAUAUGUCUAAAAGACUAUAUUGAGCUAGGUGACUUUUUAAGAAAAUUAAUAACAUCUUUAGGAUGGGUAUUAGGAUGGAUGACCUCAAAAGCUUACAUUUUAUAGUAAAUAGGUCUAGAUCCAACUCUAUUAGUUAACUAGGGAAUCAAGCCAUAUAUUGAAAUUAAUAUCUAGUGGUCUAGUUUAGUCAAAUAGGGUCUCAAAUCCAUGUCUAGUGGAUGAUAAGCUAUCAUAUAACAUUAUUAAGGGAUUAAACUCAAUAUUGUGGGGAUUUUUUAUACAACUUCUGUAAGCCAAUAGCAUAAGUUUCUCAAACCAGGUUAAAUAUGCUCAAUUAAAAGCACAUAAGAAUUCCUCCUUUAUAUUUAUCCAAUUUAAGUACACAUGAACUAACUAAUUUCUCAAGUACCUCAAUUGGGAACUAUAAAAAGAACUAACUAUACCGAGCUUUUGCCAUUAUGGUAGUAAGGAGAGAGUAUCCAUAUGGACUACCCUACAAGUAUUUUUCAUUACUUGAAAUCACAUUGGUAAUAAAGCUUUAAUGUCAACAUUUUAUUAGUGCUACUGUGGUGGAAAGUGUUGAUAUUUAAAUUAUUCUGGGAAACAAGGAAUUACAAGAGUAAUGAAAAAGCCUUGUGUGAAUAAGUUAGUAACCUUUUUUUAUUAAAGGGUUCAAUUGGCAUCAAUUCAUCAUAAUAAGAUAUCCUUUGUUAUUCUUUUCAUAUUAGUCAAUAAGGGUUAUUACUCAAUUUAUGAAGAUCUAUUCCAGAGCAAACAAAAAUAGAGUUAUAUUUUCACGUUUAUUUCCUGCAUAGAUCCUUGGACCAAUUGGAGAUUUCUUUGUCACUAAAAUAGCGAAUGAAAGAGGUGUCAAUGAGUAGCUUUUCCUUGUGAGUUUUCAACAGUUAGAUGUGUAUGUCAAUGCCUCUGCUCCAAUUGAUCAAUCUCGACUCUUGAGAUGGAGUUGGAAAUAGUGCUACAAAUGAAGGUAAACAAAUAACAGCCUGGAGAAGAUAAAAGUAAGCUAAUAUGUAUACCAUAGACAAGGAACCUCCACAAAGAUUUGGAGUACAAACCUCACAUAUAAAGGAGAGUGCAACUUGGCCCAGUGCAUUGUGCUAAGCAUGCAAAGGUGGUCAUCACACACCAAGAACAUUCUUCAUAGUUUAAAGUUUAGAGGGCUAAGUAUUAACUAGCCUAAUCCUGUUAUUUUAAUGCUCAAGUAAAUAGACUUUCCUACAAGUAGAUGUGCACCUUUAUUUGCCAAUUCAUCUGCAACUUAAUUUCUAGUGAUGUCAUAGUGCCUUUUGACAUUACAAAAAUAAAUUGGAACAAGCAAUAUCCUAGCAACCCAUUGGAUAAUGUCUAUAUUUGGAUGGCAAUCUAGUGCUUUUAUGUAUUAUAUAUAAAUCUCCACUAGUGUCAAGAAAUCAUAAUUUUCCAUAUAUACAAAUAUUGGCUCCUACACAUCCCAUUGCCAUUCCAUCUCUAAAAAAAUGUCAAGAGUUCACAACAAGAGAUUAAAUAUGAUGGUAGAUCUUGUAUCUAAAUUGUUGUUUGAUCUUCUCCUACAAGUAAGUUAGAUAAAAACUCUUAAAAUAAAUACUCCAUAACCUCCAAAAGCUUUACACUUGAAUAAUCCAUUAAUGAAAAUUUGCAAUUUAUGGUUAUUCACUACCAUUUAUAACAUAUGCACAAUCAUGUUCACCUUAAACAUUUCACUUCCUUGUCUUUAAUAUUUUUCUAUUUUGGAAAGUAUACAUAACUCAAAAGGUAAUGAUAUUUUAUAUAAGCUAUGAAAAUUGUUCUUUCUUUUUUAAUUUGGAAAUUCCAAGUGUUUGAGAACAAAGAUGAUGCAUGAACUGAAACUAACAAUGGCCAACACUAAAAUAACAACUCUAGAAACCUACCAAUACAAUUUAAAAUUUUCAUCUUUUCAUCAAGCUUUUCAUCUAGAUCAAGCUUACAAUCAUGAAAGUUGAUCAUGCCAUCAUUUGUUAUUUAGAAUUUGAAAAGCUAAAAGGAAAAAGCUUUGGGAACAUCCUACUUAACCAUUGGGACUUUUUAGUAUUUAACAAUAAAAUUCAACAGUAAAAAACAACCUUCUUAAAGUGUUGUUGAAUAAAAGAUCCCAAAAUCAUGAUCAAAACAAUAAAGAGUUGGGUUGGAUAUAUUUAGAGCCCACUAUAUCCAAGAUUGAGUUUGAGACCAAAUUUAGGAUCAAAUCUGAGUUAAAUUCAGAUAUAAUACAAGUUGUGUUGAAAGCCUAAAACACUCAUCUUUUAAAGUAAAGGUUUCAAAAGUAAAGUAAGAAGAAUAAAGCUAAAAACUCAGUCUUGAAAGAAUUCUUUAGAGAUGCUUUAAAACUAUAUUAGGGUUGAAACUAGGGAUAAGAACCUUGGGUGGGAGUAAUUAUUGAUUUGAAAGGUAUUAGGGGGGAACCUCAAGUGUUUAAUAAUAACUUCCACUUUCGGAAGAAAAACCAACUAUAAUGUUUAUGGCUCAGAUGGAAUAGUGUCUCACUUGAAUAGAUGAGGCUUAUUGGUCCUCACCCUUUUCUAAAAGGCUUGGGACCUCCUUUUUGGAGUAACUUUUAUUUGGUUUUACUUAGCUUUAGCUAUUCAUUAUAUGAGCAAUAGAGUGUUAGCCACUUCUUCAUAAAUUUCCAAACUCUCUCUCUUAAUCCCUUUCCCCAAGAUAGAUUGGAUUAAGGUUCAGUUAUAUUCUCCAUAAACACAAGUAGCCACAUACAUUAAGUUUUCAGGUUCUAAACAUCUUUUGUACAACAAGAUUUGUAAAUCCAAAACCUUAAGUGCAUCUUUUAGUUCAAAACCUUAAAGGGAAACAUCAUGGCCUAAUAACUCGAUAUAGGUACCUUAACCCCCUAGCUCCAUAAGAAAAAUUAACUAUAGCAAAGUCAAAACUGGUUGGAUAUGUGAGGUAAGUUGACAAAUUAGUAAAGAAAAAAUGUAGGGUUUAUGGAGCGUCGGUCCUUUUUGUUAUGAAAAAGGAUGGAACCAUGAAGAUGUGUAUUGACUAUCGGGACACUCAACAAGAUCACAGUUAAAAACAAUUAUCCUUUGCCUCGCAUUGAUGACUUGUUUGACCAACUUUUAAAGGCUAAGUAUUUUACGCAACUUGAUUUGUGGUCCGGGUAUCAUAAGAUACGGGUGGCAGAUCAGGAUGUGGAGAAAACAGCCUUUAAGACUUGGUAUAGAUCUUAUGAGUUCCUUGUCAUGCCGUUCGGGUUAUGCAAUGCUCUGGCAACGUUCAACACUAUGAUGGAUAGAAUAUUUGGAGAUUAUUUGGACACAUUUGUUGUCCUAUACAUUGACGAUGUUCUAGUCUUUAGCGAAAUGUUAGAGGAUCAUUUGAAACACUUGGAGCUGGUGGUUCAGAAGUUGCGUGAACACAAACUGUAUACUAAGGAAAGUAAAUGCGCUUUUGGACAAUUGCGUGUAAACUUUCUCGGACAUAUAGUUGGUGGUGGCGUGAUUGAGGUCGAUCCAAAGAAGGUGGAAGCAAUGAAGUCCUGGGAAGUUCUGACCACUGUAUCAGAUGUUCGUUCCUUUCUUGGUUUGGUGGGAUACUAUCGCAAGUUUGUCCGCAAUUUUGCAAGAAUUGCUCUUCCGUUAACUGAGUUGACGAAGAGUAGUAUUCCGUUUCACUAGACACCAUCUUGUCAACAUGCUUUUGUACGGUUGAAGGAGAUCUUAACUACGGUUCCUGUUCUCAGGAUCCCGGAUCUUGAUAAACCCUUCGAAGUGCAUUGUGAUGCAUCUGGUUAUACUAUUGAUGCCGUUGGAACACUAGAGACACUACUUAGGUGGACAUACCAAGGUUUAUACGGAUAGUAACACACUAAGCUACUUUGCUACGCAGCCUAAGCUUAUGCCGAAGCAGGCUCAUUGGCAAGAGAAGCUUGCUAUAUAUGAUAUUAAAAUCAUAUAUAAACAUGGUAAAGACAAUAUUGUUCCAGAUGCGUUGAGUCAUCAAAUUCAAUUCCGGGCAAUAUCGGCAAUCAGUUUAGACUGGUUGGAGGACGUUCGGGCUUCGUAUGGAAGUGAUCCAUUGGCGAAGGCAAUCUUAUGCUGUGCGGGGUUGUUGAGGCAAAGCCCUAGUAGCGAAGCAGCAAAAGUUGCUAGUCGCACUAAUGCGAAGCUUCACUCCUUAGUUCAGGAUGGGCUUAUAUUCUAUAAGCAAGAAAGAUUGUAUCUUCCCUGCAACAGUUGUUUCUAUGGGAACAUCAUGAUGUUCCGGCAGUGGGACAUGGGGGGAAGCGAAAGACUCUGGCUUCAUUGAAAAAGGGAUUUUUCUGGUCUAGUAUGGAAGGUGAUGUAGCGGAUUAUGUCCGUUCUUGCCCUAUAUACCAGCAAUGUAAGCGCAGAGCUGAGAAGCAGGCUGGAAAGUUGCAGUGCAUUCUAGUACCGGCAUGGCCAUUUCAAAGUGUGGCACUUGAUUUCAUCACUUGCUUGCCAAAGUCUAAGGGUUAUAAUACUUUGAUGGUGGUUGUGGAUCGGUUGUCAAAGAUUGCACACUUCAUUCCAACUGUGGGAACAGUAAAUGUGAAACAAGCAGCAAAGCUCUUUUUCCAUGAAGUAGUGUGGGUUCGUGGUCUUCUUGAAGAGAUGAUCUCGGAUAGAAAUAUGAGGUUUACGGGGAAGUUUUGGGGCACACUGUUCCAGUUGUUUGGUACCAAGUUGAAGUUUAGUAUGGCUUAUCAUCCUCAAACUAAUGGGCAGACUGAAUGCGUGAAUGCUCAAGUUGAGGAUUAUCUGCAGUACUAUGUCGCGGCGGACCAACGCGACUGGGUUGAGCAUUUGGAUACAGCAGAAAUCUGUUAUAACAACACAUUUCACAGCACUAUUGGCUGUUCUCCAUGGGAGAUGUUGCAAGGAAAUGCUCGCAAAGUGCCUCAACAAAUUAUUGUACCAAAAUCAAUGUCUGAAGUGUUGGUCCCAGCUGUUGAGACUUAUGCGGAGCAACUACGCCAAGGUUGGUCUAGAGCUACUGAGGCAAUGGGCAAAGCUUAGGAUAGGUAUUGACGUGACAAGGAUCAGCAUCGUCAGGAUGUAUGGUCCAUAAUGGCAUCUGUGAGGCUGCAAUACAAGAUGUAAUGUAAUAUUAGAAGCCAUAGGAACUCAGGAGGAAUAGUAUGAAAAAGAAAUAGUUAAUAUUCACUUUUAAAAGCCAUGAAGAGCUGCUAGCCUUUCGUGAGUGUCAAUGUUUAUAGUUUGCUUGCAAGAAUCAGAAAACUCUUAGUUUUCACUCGAUAAAGAAGUUGCAAACAGUGGCUGGAUAAAACUGUUUUCCCGACGAGCGAAGCUCGUGAGUGAUCUUGACAUCCAUGAGCCGGUGAUUGUCUUUGGAGUGAGUGAUUUCGAUCGAGCCUUGGAUAACAUCACUGUCUUCGAUUACCACUGGAGGCUGGAGAAGGAAGAUCAAAGAGACGCUUUGAAGCAUCUGUUGUCUCCAGUGUGUUGUGUCAGUGUCACUUGGACUGUACAAACACUAUCUUACUUAUCCAGUUGUUGUCAACUCGACUUCCUUGUCCACUGGAUUCGACGAGUUUCCCUGGAAAGACACACUAAUAGAGUUAGUGAAGAGAAAAAGAGAGAGCUGGAGAGAUUUUCUGAUCCGCAAGAACCAAAAGUAGCCGGCAAAUCCACAGAGCCUAAAGAGUGAAUGUGAAUCGCGACUUAACAGCAUUGGAGCAACUGAUCUCUUUCACAACAACAGGCUCGGAUAUAAGUUUGACCAUCAGGAAUGCUGCCGUACCUGGAUUGUACAGCAAUGCUAUCAAACAAGUCUUUGGCCUCGUUCAUAAGUCCAGCUUUACCAUAAUACCUAUUGAUAAACUUGUUAAAGUGUUAAAGUUAAAUCAUUAGAUGAUCUUAUAGUUAAGCAAGGACAAAAUCUUUGUGAAGUUAAAGAAUAUAGUUUUUAGUUCAAAGUGUUAAUUUAAAUUAUUGGUAAUGGUGUGGCUUGGUCAAGGUGAUCAAGUGGGAAAGAUACAUAAAGAAAAUAAACUACAACAAUAUAAUGGUAUUAUAAGUUCAAAACAAUAGUCUCUAAGGAAGGACCCAUGGGUGGGUCUCAAGGUUAAGCCAUCCCAUAACAUAAAAUAUUGGAAAGACUUAUUAAGGGUGAAUACCUUUUGGACUUAGCAAAAUAAAGCAUUUGUUAUGGAAUUAAAAGGAUACUUCAAGGAUGGAGGUAGUGAUCCUACGUUAUUUAGUGCAACGAUCAAAAGAUAGGAGCAAAAAACUAAUGGCUAAGAUUAAGUUAUGGAAAUCAUUGGAAGGAAUCUAAAUGGCAAAGUUAUGCAAAAAACACUCAUAUAUUAGAUGUUAAUAAAUUAUGGGAAAGGAAAUAUGUUUCUAAUGAUGGAUUCCCAAAUGCUUCAAUUUAACAAAAGUGAAAUCUCUAAGGAAGGGAGAGGCAAGGUAACCAAACGAUAGGGCCGUGGAUAGCCUUAACACAAAUUAUAGAUAAGUGGAACUUAGUGCCUAAAGUGGCAUGAAAUAAAAGAAAAGAUGAUAGUGCCCUCAAGUAAAGAACUUUAUAAAAUGGGGAAGUGGAGUUUGCACAACAUGUACAAUGCAAGGUGUAGAGAACACUUAGGAAAUUGACUUCAAAAAGUCAAAAUUAAAAGUUUUAAAGUGUGAUAUUUAUGUUGAUGGAAGCUAAAACUACUUGGGUAUGAGUAGCUAGAUUGAGAUAGAGAAGGUGUUUUUAAUAGGUUUAACAAAAACUAAACCAAAUAAAGGGAAAGAACCAUUAUAAAUGGUAUAAUGAGUCUCUAAGUUCGGGAGAUUAUUCUCCUUAUAGGAGGGGAAAGGCAUGAUGAGCCUUCAAUGUCAAACUAUUGAUAAAUAUUAGUUUGGUGCUAAAAAAAUGGUAGUUUAUGAUAGAGUUACUUUGUAAAAUGGUUUAUUGUUCAAUGAGGAUAUUAAACUUCGUCUAUGGGUAGUGGAAUUGUGAGACACAAAUCCCUGAGCCCCAAAGUGGAGCAUAAAGGGUGUUAUAUGGUGGUGGUUAAAGUGGAAGUCUAACAAACAUAAUAUAUUUGGACUAAAGGCUUUAACUUGGAAAGUCGAGAGUGGGAGUGGAACUUCGAAUGAAGUGCUUGAGGGAUGAGUAUGAAGCAAUUGGUGAUUGAGUCUCUAAAAAGGGACACCAAAAAGACUAAAGUAUAGCAAGUGUCAUGACACAUGAAAGUGUCAGGAACAAGUCCAAGAAGGAGUCUGAGAUGGAGUCCAAGAUGGAGUCUGAUAUGCACUUAGGAUAGAGUUCGAGAUGGACCCAAGAUGGAGUCUGAGAUAAAGUCCAAGAUGGACUUGAGAUAAAGUCUGAGAUGGACCCGAUGUGAGACACAAAAUCCCUAGGCCCCAAAGUGGAGCCGGAAGGGUGCCACAAGGUAGUGGCCGAAGCGAAAGCCAAACGAGUGUAACACGUUUGGAUUAAAAGCUCCGACUUGAAAGGUCGAGAGCGGGAGUGGAACUCCCAACAAAGUGCUCGAGGAAUGAGCACGAAGCGAGCAAUAAGCAAGGCUCUAAAAAAGGGACCCAAAAGGAUCAACACAUGACACGUGGAUGUCAGGAAUCCCCCAAUUCUUGCCACAUUCUUGACUCUCACCGGAUUCCUGACCUGCAGACCACAUUCCUGACUCUCGAGACACUUCCCUAUUCCUGACUCUCGAGACACUUCCCGAUUCUUGAGUCUCGAGCCACAUUCCUGAUGAUGAUGUGGCGCCUCCUCGACCUCAGCGAUAUUUAGGCCGUCCUCGAUCCAAGAGUGGUGGAGCUUCAUCAACCUAUAGUAUAUAUAGGUUAGCCUUGUUCCAUUUCUCCACAAUCUGAAUCAACGCCAGUCUAAGGCCUUUUCUUUGUUUCCACUAGUUUUUCUCUUUGUCUUUUUGCAUUUUCCAGUCUUGAUCUUGUCAGGGGUCUUGACAAUUUGAUUCAGAUUGUGUUUUUUCGUUUUUUGAUUUAGCUCGUUUUAAUUGUUUGAUUACCUUUGCCUUUUUUCCCCCUUUUUUCUUUCUUCUUGCCAAUGGAGUCUCCAAGCCAUCCUGAUUUCUUUGCUGAAGUCCUUGCAAAAAUCCAGUCUGAGAAUACCGAGCUGAAGGCGACCCUUCUUCGCAUGCAGCAGGAGCUUGCUUCACUUUCGGCUUAAGGAUCCAGCAAAGUUCCUGAACCGAAUGUGAGCUUCCCGGCGAAAUUUUCAGGCAAGCGUUCGGAGCUUCGCGGAUUCCUGAACCAAAUGGAGUUGAUCUUCGCACUUCAACAUCGGCGGUACCCCACUCCCGAGUCUCAAAUCAGCGCGAUUGGGACGUUGCUCAAAGGUGCAGCUUUGUCAUGGUUUUCUCCUCUUCUGGAGAAGAGCAUGAAAGGGGUCGUGGUUCCGGAGCUGAUGGAUCUUCAAUUGUUCAAAGAGAAGCUCGAAGCAUGUUUUGGCGAGACGGAUCGGGUUCAGGCUGCUACCACAAAGAUGAGACGUCUCUCUCAGGGGUCUCGUCCUACCUCGAUCUACGUUGCAGAGUUCCAACUCCUUGCUUUGGACACUCAGUGGGAUGAGCAGGCCCUAAUUGACCAAUUUCGUUUCGGCCUCAACAAUGGUGUCAAGGAUUUGUUGCUCACCAUGGAGGAUCCCAAGGACCUGUCGGACGCCAUUAACAAAGCUGUUCGAUGUGACAAUCGUCUCUUUGAACGUCGUUAGGAAAGUCGCCGCGCCGCUGUUUUUCCGUCCCAGACUCAGGAAUCCCAGCUUGAGUCUUCGGGGCAUACUCUUGAACCUACUGCUCCGGUUCCGAUGGAUAUUUCUGGUACUCCCCGACUCAUUAGAGGGAAGUUGAGUCCUGCUGAGAAGCAAUGUCGAAUAUCUCAUAAUCUUUGCCUCUAUUGUGCUGAUCCUAAUCACAAAGCAGCUGUAUGUCCCAAGAAGCCUCCUCGACUGCUUGAGUUCACUCUGCCUCAAAGUCUACCUCUAUUGCAGUCGGGAAACGACCCUGUCCAAACAGAGUAAGAGCUGUCUGUUUGGACUCCCCGAAAAAAAAUCACUUUUCUUCUUUAUCAAGCUCCUCACCACCUUUCAUCAAAGCCACCACCAAUUCCCGCAACUUCUGCGUCCCAUGUCUCCUUUCUUUCACCGGACAAUCAGGACUCAAGGCUUUGGCGCUACUGGACUCGGGUGCAACUUCCUGCUUCAUGGACACGGACUUUGCUACCUGACAUCACGUUCCUCUUUCUCCUACCAUACGGGAUUUGAGGGUUGAAGGCAUCGGCGGGCAUUUUGUGUCUUCAUCUUCUAGACUUAGGGAAACGUUGCCCGUUCGAGUACACAUCGGGUCCACCGUCACCGAUAUCGCCUUCAACAUCAUCAACAGCAAGUCCUCUGUGGUGCUCGGUCUUCCUUGGUUCCAACUACAUCAGCCUCAAAUCUGUUGGAAGGAAUUACAGCUCAUCUCUCCCAUGGCUUCCCCUGCUGUUCAUCGAGUCCGAAUCAGGAAAAGUUCCCUAAACUCAAAUCGGGGUUCUGUUCCUGACUCUACAAAGUUUUCACCCUCUUCUUUUUCCUCUCUUCCAUCUUACACUGGACCGUAUCCUCGUCUCAUCAUUCCAUUUAGUCGUACGCCUCCUCCUAUCUCCACAAUCACUAUGAGGAGCAUGACGAACAUGUACGCAAGGUGCUAGCGAAGCUGCGAGAACACGGCCUAUACGCGAAGCUUGAGAAAUGUUCCUUUGAUCAAUAGUCUGUGGAGUUCCUUGGGUACAUUGUCACUCUUCAGGGUAUCAUGAUGGAUCUUGCCAAAGUCAAGACUAUUCUCGAAUGGGAGCCUCCACAAUCAAUGUCGAACGUUCAAGUUUUCCUUGGCUUCGCCAACUUCUACCGCAAAUUCAUUGAUCACUACUCUGACAUUGUCCUUCCUCUCACACAUCUCACUCGCAAGGAUGUUCCCUUCUCUUGGUCUGCUGCUGCCCAGCAGGCCUUCGACACACUCAAGGCGGCCUUCAGUUCUACUCCUGUCUUGAUCCAUGCUGAUUCUUCACAACCUUUCUUCAUCGAGGCUGACGCCUCCGACUUUGCCAUUGGUGCUGUGCUAUCUCAACUCGGAGCGGAUCAUGAACUUCAUCCGGUCACUUUCCAUUCUCGGAAAUUCCAGCCUGCAGAGAUCAAUUAUGAAAUCCACGACAAGGAGCUCCUUGCCAUCGUGGAUUCCUUUGGAGAGUGGCGCCGUUUCUUGGAAUGGGCGGACCAUCAAACAAUAGUCUGGACGGAUCACAAAAAUCUCGAGUACUUUGCCACUUCCCGAGUUUUGAGCCGUCGUCAAGCAAGGUGGGCACAAUUCCUGAGUCGGUUUGACUUUGUUAUCAAGUACAGACCGGGAAAGUUUCAAGGCCUUCCUAAUGCUCUUUCAAGGCGCUUCUAUCUCAGUCUCAGGCCUGGUAAUCCUGCCUUCGAUCAACAGGAUCAAGUUAUCCUCAGUCCUGAUCGGCUUCAAGUUAUGGCAAUUUCCUUGGCCCCUUAGGACUCCUCCUUGAUGGAUGCGAUCAGAAACGAGCUCCAAUCUGAUGACCUCGCCAGUGAUAUUUUCACCCAUCUUCAGGCUGGACACCCAGUGACUCCCGACUGCCGGCAAUUUGACGAGUUCGAGUUCUUAGAUGGCUUAUUGUAUCGUGGGGAGUAGCUUUACGUUCCUGAAGGUGAUGCUCGAAGGUUGGUCCUGAUGGCAUGCCACGAUAGCCCGACUGCUGGUCAUUUCGGCAUUGCGAAAACCUAUGAGCUAGUUGCACGGGACUUUUGGUGGCCUCACAUGGACGACUACAUCAAAGCUUUUGUUACCUCCUGUGACAUUUGUGCCCGGAAUAAGGUACCUCGCCACCUUCCUUCAGGUUUGCUUCGUUCCCUCCGGGUCCCUUCAGGUCUUUGGGAAUCCAUCUCCAUGGAUUUCUUGAGUGAUCUUCCGAGUUCUGGAGGCUUCAACAGUAUUUUAGUCGUGGUGGAUCGUUUCACAAAGAUGGCGCACUUCUUGCCGUGUACCAAGGAAUUUUCGGGCGAGGACAUGGCAAAACUGGUAUUCAGGGAAAUUUUCCGACUUCAUGGGAUUCCUACAGAUGUGGUUUCGGAUUGGGAGCCUCAGUUCAUCUCUCAUUUCUGGCAACGGUUUUUGCAGCUGCUUGGAGUGAAGGCCAACCUCUCUUCGGCAUAUCAUCCUCAAACUAAUGGACAGUCCGAGCGAACGAUUCAGACGUUGGAACAAUUCUUGAGGUGCUUCAUCAACUAUCAUCAGGAUAACUGGUUCGAUAUCCUUCCCCUUGCUGAGUUCUCCUAUAACAACUCUGUUCACUCCUCUCUUCGAGUUUCCCCCUUCUUUGCGAACUCUGGCCGAAAUCCCCGAUUCAAUCUCUCACUUCCUUCUCCAUCUGAAUCCUCUCAUUCAAAUCCCCACUCUGAGGCAUUUAUCUCCAACCUCCAGGAAAUCCACAACUCCAUCUCCUUCCACCUCCAUCGUGCUCAGGAAUCUCACAAAACAUUUGCCAAUGUCCAUCGUCAGGAUUGUCCCCCUUACAAUAUCGGGGAUAAAGUCUGGCUCCUUAGGUGAAAUAUCUCCACCACCAGGCCCUGUCCAAAACUCAAUUUCAAACGCCUUGGUCCUUUCCCUAUCACUACCAUCAUUAAUCCUGUCACUUAUCACCUUGCACUUCCCUCCUCAUAUCAAAUUCACCUCGUUUUUCACUCCUCUCUCCUUGAGCCUUAUAUUCCCAAUCCUAUUCCAAAUCGGGUCAUUCCUCCGCCUCUGCCAGUGCAGCUCGAGGAUGGGUCUGAGUACGAGGUUCAGGACAUCCUUGAUUCCAAGAUUUCACGGUCUAAACUCUACUAUCUGGUCGACUGGAAAGGUUACGGACUUGAGGAACGCACUUGGGAACCUGCGGACAACCUGAUUCAUUCUCCUGACCUUGUUCAGGACUUCCACCGCCACUAUCCUUCUCGUCCCAGUCCUCAUUCUUUUUCUCCAUCUCCCAUCCCUCGCCGCUCAUCUCAUCCUCCUCUUCGUUCUCGUUCACAUCCUCGUUCCACUCGUUCUUAAGGAGGGGGUGCUGUCAGGAAUCCCCUAAUUCUUGCCACAUUCCUAACUCUCGCCGGAUUCCUGACCUGCAGACCACAUUCCUGACUCUCGAGACACUUCCCUAUUCCUGACUCUCGAGACACUUCCCGAUUCCUGAGUCUCGAGCCACAUUCCUAAUGAUGAUGUGGCACCUCCUCGACUUCAGCUAUAUUUAAGCCGUCCUCGAUCCAAGAGUGGUGGAGCUUCAUCAACCUAUAGUAUAUAUAGGUUAGCCUUGUUCCAUUUCUCCACAAUUUGAAUCAACGCCAGUUUAAGGCCUCUUCUUUGUUUCCACUAGCUUUUCUCUUUGUCUUUUUGCAUUUUCCAGUCUUGAUCUUGUCAGGGGUUUUGACAGUGAAAGUGUCCGAGAUGAACUUGAGAUGGAGUCUGAGAUGGAGUCCGAGAUGGGGUCCGAGAUGGAGUCCUAGAUGGACCGAGACGGAGUCCGAGAUGGAUCCGAGAUGGAGUCCAAGAUGGACUCCAAGAUGGACCGAGACGGAAUCCAAGAUGGAGUCCGAGAUGGACCCGAGAUGGAAUCCGAGAUGGAGUCCAAGGUCAAGACCGAGAUUGGGACCGAGACUGAGACUGAGACCGAGGCCAGGAAUGAGGCCGAGGCCGAGGCCGAGACCGAGCCCGAACCCGAGUCCGAGUUGGAGUCCUGAGUUCGAGUCUGAGAGGGUGAAAGCCCAAAGCGUUCGUCUCCCAGACCCUGGGGGGUUUGGUGAGCUCCAAAAGUAUAGUAGGGGGGAGGACUACAGUGGAGCCAGUUUGGCUAGGAAAGGCCAGUUUGGCCUAGGAAGGCUGUUCCCAAUGUUGGGUGAUGAGCUGCCCACUGGGAAGUCCAAGACUAAAGUGAACACGGACCGACAAGCGGGGUAGCUUGGUGAAGUGUUCAAGAGCCGGCUUUAGUUCCCCUGGGAGAUCAAUUGGCCAAUGCUCCCAGUCCAAGUGUGGGUGGCACUACCUACUUGGAUACCUAGUGUGGCUCAACGGAACCUCACUCUAAGCCCACGGCUAGAGCACCCAAAGGCGGAAGGUGGGGAGAGUACCCACGAGGCCUAUGGUAUUCCGAAAUGUUGCCCCAAGGUCUUAAACUGUGAAAAGGAAAAGGAGCCGUCCUAUAGUGUAGAGACCAAGGAUGCAAUCAUGUGAGGAGGAAGUCCCAGACGACCGUGGGACUUAGUGGUUGGGCCUGUGAGCCUUGAUCCAGUGGCAGUGUUGGCGAACACGGCUAUGGGCAAAAAGGGACUUGGUGGAGACCGGAAAAGGGAUGUUGGGGAAGGCUAUUCCCUAUGUCUGUGUGCAUCCUAAGGACGCUAAAGAGUGGAUUUGGGAUGAUCACUCAUGGACGGAUGGCCUAGUCUUUGAGAAACGGGACUGUAAUGUAGGUGGUGUCAGACCACUGGUGUGACCAAGGUGAUUGGGCAUGGCCUCAACGUAAUGGGCUGAUAUGUCGGUGGUACCUUGGGGUGUCGAUCAUGGGAUCGGAUACGUAGAGCACUUGGACCAAGUGCAAAAGUUGAGUGGCAUGGAUGCCAUUCUUGGGGCUGGCAAGCCCCAAGUUCGGUAUUGGACUUAUGGAGGUUGUGAAUGAGACUCCUCCAAGUGGUCGGAGGUAUGGUUAAGUGACUAAAGUAGAAUGGAAAAUUUAGUUGCUUACAAUUUGGUAUCAGAGUUGUUCCUUAGUCCGGCUUUUAUUGGUGCUCAAGUAUAUCACUAUUGAUAUUGGAAACGGAAGGUCCUAGAAGUGGGCCUAUCCUUGAGGAGUAGCAUGUUGAGAGGACAUGGCUCUCCACUCAAGUUCAUGCGUGAACAUGGGCACGAUGUGGUGGAUAGAAAAGGGGCCAAUAAGGGAAUGACUUUGGGAUCUUGGGAAUAAUAUAAGGUUUCCCUCAGAGAGUUGAGGAUGUGAUCCGGAUGAGCGGUUGACUCAGCAAACUGGCUAAGGUAGUUGUGGUAAACAACUAUAGUUGGUAUCACGGGAAAGAUAGAGGCUCCAAAACAAUAAAGGAGUCACAAAAUUAUCCUCGCAUAAUUGAGGCUAGUGUUCAUGAAUUUGAGACCGAAAUUGAUGACCGUGAGAAGUGAAGUACGGAUGAGGACACGAGUCCUUGAAAUGGUAGCCGAGGCUACCUUUUAUAAAUGCUGGAACAACCCAAGGAGUUGGGGGUGUACUUAGAGGAUGAGUUGGUAUUCUUAUCACAUGGACAAGUGGUCUUAAAAUGCAAAAGGUUGCCCCAAGAGAACAAAUCAAGUGUCGGAGUAACAAUUGGAAAGAUGGUUCUUGUGAGUAGAACUUGAAUACAAGAAGUUGUAUUUCAGUGAGCUGGCACCUUAAAGGUAGGACCUCAUGGGUCAUCAGAUGACAAAGUCCAAAAAGCUAGAUGACUCAAAUAGAGUCAAGGAAUAAUACUAAAGGAUUGAUGGAAGCAUUUGGAUUGAGGUGUGUUGUACCCCACGAAGGAUGGGGGGAAUCAUAAGAUCCAAGUAUGAGAACAGAGGGUAUUUUAUUGAUGGCAGAAUGUGCCAUACUAAAGUCGUGGGAAAGGUGUUCCUAGAAAAAGCAACUUUGGUGCAGAGUUGUGUGCGAACACUAUGGUGUAGUGCUAACGGAUAGUUGACAUGAGAAACAACUAGGUUAAUUCUGGCAAAGACCUAGACACAAGUGCAAAGUGUCAUAAAGGCAGACUCAUGGAGCUGAUGGUGUAGAGACACCAAAUGGGCCAAGGUGUGAUACCUUGAGGUUAUAUUGAUGGGUUCAUAAGAACCCCUUGCCAAGGGAAUCCCAAUUUAAAUGGGAAUGGCAUAGUCUAAAUUGAAAAGCAUGUGGUAGAGUGUAGUAACCUAGAUAAUGAUGAAAGUGUGGAAGCACCAACAAUGAGUUGUAGGGCUUGACAACUAUGAGGCAACUAAGUAAGAGGUGCAAGAUAAUUGGUUAAACGGAUAGAAGGUAGCUACCUAAAAUUUCUUAAUGGCAUAAGGAAGUUAGAUAUACCCUUACGGGGGAUAAAUUGCUUAUGUUGCAAUAUAGUGAGUCAAUGUUGUAAAAGGAAAUGCUCAUUGUCAAGAAGGCUAUCAUUGGGACACCCAAACACUCUAAAACACCAGGAAGUGGUGUUUGGUGUUGCAAGGGCAUUAGAUAAGGCCCAAGGGACUAAGUCCCUAGCGAAUGAUGAAUAGGAAGUGUUAUCCAAAUGUCUAAGGUUCUGGAGACGGGAGAAAUCUGUCUACCCGAUUUGGAUAAAGCAAAAAAUGGGAUUUUGGCAAGGCUAGUGAUGGGCAUAUAGAGGCCCAUAAGUAGCAACAUUAAUCCCGGUGCGUGGGAUUAUGAGGUGAGCAUGCCCAGAUUAAGGAACCACUCCCUAAGCUAUUGGGUAAAUUCAUCCCUAUGAAUACUUGCUAAGGCAUAGUAGAAGGUGCAAAGCUAUCUUUUUAGUUUGGAGGAGAAUAAGCAAAGGAAACAUAUAAGGCCAAAAAGUAAGUAGUAUUGAGAUGGAAUUGAACCAUAAAAAUUGAAGGGCAUAACUGACAGUGGUUAUGCAAGUUGGGAGUGGAGAAUCAAGAGGGUGCUCGAGGAUGUUGUUACUAGCAACCGCAGUGCUAUGGAGAGUCUAAAAUGUGAAAUUAUCCAUGUUAGACGAUAUAGUGAGUAAGGAGCUUGCAAAGGAGAAGCCUUAGCAAGCUAAGGAACAGAGUUCCAUGAAGGUUCCCAAAGACAAUUCUAAGUAGAUAAGUACCUAGAAAGCUAAAUGUAAAUGGUUCCUAAAGUGCGCAAAAUUAGAGUGGCGCAGCAGAAGCAUGGUCUUGAAGCUGGCCAUGAGGCGAGGCUAUCAAAGUUGGGGAAGUAUUUCCCAAGUGUUCAAAGAAAGGGCUUUGAAUGAAAGUCGAUGGUUAGGACUAUCACGCUUAUGCAUGAACUAUGUUACGGUGGCCGGAUGACUUACUAAGUGAGAUUGGCAAGUCAGGGGAACAAAUCCCUAGUCAAAGGUGCUAACUUCAAAAGGGAUGGCCCAUGGGGCCAAGCAUGGAAGAAUCUAUGCAUGAUCACAUACUUGUCUAGUGAGAGGGCUUGGCAGUGCGGAGGAACUAGGUUCCUAAGCUGUGAUCUAUAGUGCGCUUUAAAUAUAAAUUGGUGCAACGACAUGGGGAGUCACGCCAGGCAUCUUGGAUGAUGCCUUCUGUAGAUGCAUAUACGGAGGUUGGGUUCGAGUCCCGACCCUCUAGUGCUUGGGUUCAAGUCCCAAAUCACUAGGGCGUGGUGAUGGUUUGGAAUAUGAGGACAUUCAUUUUUCGGUGGUCAUGGACUCUCAAUGAGGAGACUGGUUUGGGCACACUGCCAAGCGAGGGAUGCCUUGGAGUCAUGAUGCACGGUUAGAUUGCUUAGUAUGGCUUGGCAAUCUAACUUGAACACUUUGGUGCGAGUGGCACCAAGGACGUGGUGAAUGAGAUAGGGAUAUCCAGUCUCAGUUGCUAUGGACCCUUAGCCAGAAGGGCUGGCUUGGGUGCACCACCAAGUGUGGGGGAUGCCCUCGGGGUCAUAGUGAACAACUUCAAGGUCUGGAAGAUCUAGUACCUAUUGGCAAACCUGUUAAGGUGCCAAAGUUGGAUCACUAGGUGGUCUUAUGGCUAAAAAAAAGGACAAGGUCCUUGCGAGGUUAAGAGAUAAAGUUCCUAAUUCAAAAGUGUUGAUUUGAACUAUUGAUGAUGGUGUGGCUUAGUCAAGGUAACCAAGUGGGAAGAAUACCUAAGGGAAAGAAUUAUGUUAAUGUGAUGGCAUAAUAAGUCUGAGAAAAGUAGUCUCUAUAAGAGAUCCAAGGGAGGGUCUCAAAAGUGGGGCCAUGGAUAAAGCCUACAGUAGAAAAUGUUAAAGAAACAUACUAAGGGUGAACACCCUCUGGACUUGGCAAAGUAAAGUGUUUGCUAUGGAACCGAAAGGAAACCUCGAAAAUGGAGGUAGUGAUUCUAUGUUGCUGGGGGCAACAAUCAAGGAUAGGAGCAAAAGACUAGUGGCUAAGAAAAGACCCAUGGGAAUCAUGGGAAAGAAUCUAAAUGGCAAAGUUAGGCCGAGAACACUAAUGUGUUGAGUGCUAAUGGAUUGUGAAAAAUGCAAUAUUUCCCCAAUGAUGGAUUCCCAACCACUCCGAUUUGGCGAAAGUGGAAGCUUCAAGAGGGGCAGCGUCAAGGUAGCUAAAUAAUAAGGUCGGGGGCAGCCCUAGCACCAAUUAUGAUAACUGGAACUUAGUGCCAAAAGUGGCACGAUGUCGAUGAGAGGAUGAUAGUGCCCUCAAGUAAAGAACUUCCUAGGAUGGGGAAGUGGAGUUGCACCAUGUGCAACGUAAGGUGUUGGAGACACUUAGGAAAUUGACUCUGAGAAGUCAAAAUUAAAAGUUCUAAAGUGCAAAGGUUAUGUCGAUGGAAUCUAAGACUACACGAGAAUGAGUAGUGGAAUUGAGUUAGAAAAGGUGUCUCUAACGGGUUUAGCGAAAACUGAACCAAUAAAAGGGAGUAAACCACCCCAGGUGGCCGAAUGAGUCUCUAUGUUGGAGAGACUAUGCUCCUUAAAGGAUGGAUAAGGCAUGAUGAGCUUUCGCUAUCAAACCAUAGACAAAUAUUAGCCAGGUGCCAAGGAUGGAAACAGUAAUAAAAGGGUUUACCGUUCAAUGAGGACAUCGAACUUUGUUUAUGGGUGGUGGAGUUGUGAGACACAAAAUCCUUAGGCCCCAAAGUGGAGCCAAAAGGGCGCCAUGUGGUAGUGGCUGAAGCAAAAGCCAAACGAGCGUAACACGCUUGGACUAAAAGCUCCGACUUGAAAGGUCAAGAGCGAGAGUGGAACUCCCAAUAAAGUGCUCGAGGAAUGAGCACGAAGCAAGCAAUAAAAGAGGCUCUAAAAAAGGGACCCAAAAGGACUAACACAUGACAUGUGGAAGUGUCUGAGAUAGACUUGAGAUGGAGUCUGAGAUGGGGUCCAAGAUGGAGUCCGAGAUGGAGUCCGAGAUGGAGUCCGAGAUGGAGUCCGAGAUGGAGUUCGAGAUGGAGUCCAAGAUGGACCGAGAUGGAGUCUGAGAUGGAGUUCGAGAUGGAUCCGAGAUGGACCCGAGAUGGACCCGAGAUGGAGUCUGAGAUGGACCCAAGAUGGAGUCCGAGAUGGACCGAGACAGAGUCCGAGAUGAGGUCCGAGAUGGACUCGAGAUGGAAUCUGAGAUGGAGUCUGAGAAGGACCCGAGAUGGAGUCUGAGGUCAAGACCGAGACAAGGACCGAGACCGAGAUCAAGACCCAGACCGAGACCGAGACCGAAAUCGGGACCGAGACCGAGACCGAGGUUGAGGUCGAGACCGAGCCCGAGCCCAAGUCCGAGUCCGUGUCCGAGUCCGAGUCCGAGUCCGAGUCCGAGUCCGAGUUUGAGUCUGAAAGGGUAAAAGCCCAAAGCGUUCAUCUCCUAGACCCUAGGGGGUUUGGUGAGCUCCAAAAGUAUAGUAGGGGGAGGACUGCAGUGGAGCCAGUUUGGCCAAGAAAGGCCAGUUUGGCUUAGGAAGGCUGUACCCAGUGUUGGGUGAUGAGCUGCCCACUGGGAAGUCCAAGACUAGAGUGAACACGGACCGACAAGCGAGGUAGCUUGGUGAAGUGUUCAAAAGCCGGCUUUAGUUCCCCUGGGAGAUCAAUUGGCCGAUGCUCCCAGUCAAAGUGUGGGUGGCACUACCUACUUGGAUACCUGGUGUGGCUCAACGGAACCUUGCUCUAAACCCACGGCUAGAGCACCCAAAGGCAGAAGGCAGGGAGAGUACCCAUGAGGCUCGCGUAAGGCCACGGUGUUCCGAAAUGUUGCCCCAAGGUCCCAGACUGUGAAAAGGAAGAGGAGCUGUCCUAUAGUGUAGAGACCAAGGAUGCAGUCAUGUGAGGAGGAAGUCCCAGACGACCGUGGGACUUAGUGGUCGGGCUUGUGAGCCUCGAUCCAAUGGCAAUAUUGGCGAACACGGCUAUGGGCAAAAAAGGACUUGGUGGAGACUGGAAAAAGGAUGUUAGGGAAGGCUAUUCCCCAUGUCUGUGUGCAUCCUAAGGAUGCUAAGGAGUGGAUCUGGGAUGAUCACUCAUGGACAGAUGGCCCAGUCUUUGAGAGACGGGAUUGUAAUGUAGGUGGUGUCAGACCACUGGUGUGACCAAGGUGAUUGGGCAUGGCCUCAGUGUAACAGGCUGAUAUGUCGGUGGUACCUUGGGGUGUCGAUCAUGGGAUUGGACACGUAGAGCAUUUGGACCAAGUGCAAAGGUUGAGUGGCAUGGAUGCCAUUCUUGGGGCUGGCAAGCCCCAAAUUUGGAAUUGGACUUAUAGUUGUGAAUGAGAUUCCUCCAAGUGGUCGGAAGUAUGGUUAAGUGACUAAAGUAGAAUGGAAAAUUUAGUCACUUACACCCGAGAGGAAGUUUGAGGUCGAGUCCAAGAUGGACCCAAGAUCAUCAAUCAUACACUGUGAUCUUCCUUGGAAACCACAAAAUAAUCAAACUCCAUCGAUCCAAAGCAUUGACAGGCCUCUUUCAAAUGACUUGAGUGGCUCAACGCUCUGUAAGAAUGCUCAUAAAUGUUCGACUAACACCCUCCAAUUGAGAAUGUAAAGGAGAGUCUUGGAACAUCCCUGAAGCAGUGAAGUCCACAACACAAUGCUUUCGAUUGGCACAGCGUCAAAGAGCUUCUUAGCAUCGCAUAUGAGUGCUCCACAGUAGUUUAAUCUGAAUCAUGCCUUAGUGUCAAACUCGAUUUCCUUCUCCACUGGAUUCGACGAAUUCCCCUGGAAAGCCACACUAGUAGAGUUAGCGAAAAGAAAGAGAGAGAGAGGGAUAGAGUGGGAUUUUAUCAUGAAAGCGUGAACAUCAGCCAGCAGAGCCUGUCACUUCCAAAAAGAGUAAACGAAAAUCGCAAGUUCACAGCAGCAAUGUCCUGGAUUGUUGCAUUGCGCAAUCGAUCUCUUACAACCAGGUUACUAAUCACUUGACUUGGAUACCAGGAAUGCCGCCACCGCCGCAUGCUAUCAAAAAGGUUCAUUCACAAGUCCAGGUCUACCAAGAACAUAAAUCAUGUCUGAAAACACAAAAUAAUCAAACUCCAUUGAACCAAGCUGGAGUGGCUCAAUGCUGUAAGAAUGCACACAUAAAUGUUACUUAGUCCUGACUAACACCCUCCAAAUUGAGAACGUAAAGGAGAGCCUUGGAUGCCGCGAAUGGGCAUAUGCUGUGUCUCUGGUGGGCAUCAAAUUCAUUAUGAUUUGUCAAAAAUGUUAGUUAAGGAUGGCAAGCAUGGCAUUCCACAUCACUCCGUAGCGAUACGGCAUCGAUUCCAACAGCUUCCUUGUCGUCAACCAGGCGAGGGUGUGUCAUGUUUGACACAAUACCCCACGUGGAACAUUAGUGCCUUGCUCGUGAUAUAAGAUACCAGGUCAUCUGGUCAUGGAGAUUCCCAGCCUGGGCAUAUGCUGUGAGCAGAAUCGUCCAUCUAUGAGACCAAGUCCGCCUGUGGCAUCUCUCUAAGUGUGCUGUCCAAAAACUCUAUAUUCUGGGGAUGGGAAUAUGCUCUAAGCAAUCUCAUUCCAAGAGACAAUGUUCUCUCAUUCAUUGCAUCAACGAUCCCUUUGGCCGAUGCCAGAUGCCCAUCCUGGGAAUACCCCUGAAGCAGCUAAGUCCAUGUGGGCAUAUGACUGUAUCUUAUCCGCCACUGUGCCUUGGCACGUGUCUCAAGUACAUUGCACGUCUCCUAGCCCACGUUAUUCAUGCUAAUAGUAUAAAUAUAUGUCUUCCUCCACUCUAUAUACAUACCACUCUCUGUAGCUAUCUUUGCAGCAGCACAGUUUAGUCCCUGCGUAGCAAAUCCCAUGGAGAAGGCAGCAAAGAUUGCUUUUAUUCUCACACUCAUAGUUGCAAUUUCAUUUGCCUCACUUGAGUUCACCAAUGCUAUUGAGAUAGCUCCCAACACAAAGUUUGUGCCGGCUUCUUCUCUUCUCUCAUACUUCAGGAACCUGAAAGAGAUGGAGUGCAUGCCGCACUCUCAAUGCUGCCCCGACUCCAAGCCCUGCCCAUCAGAGGACCAGGAGUGUAAGAUCUGUGCCAAAAUUUAUCCUGCACUGUGCUUCUGCACAGACAAAUCUGGGCUUAACAAGCUGAUGCUGUAAUCUGGAGGUAUGACUUAAUUCGUGUUUCUUUAUACUCAGUGCUAAUCAUUUGUGUGUCCUAGAAGAUGGACAACUUGAUGCACACCUUCUGAUCUAAAGAAUGGAGUAAUAAAUGUCUUUAUGUGCUAAAACUAUGUGAUUUUGGGCAUUUUUCGCUUUGCAAGUGAUCCAUUAGUGGUUAUUUCUUUGAUAGCCACGACAUGUACUGUGUAAUUCGCUACUGGUAAUAAUAAAAAAACUCUCAAGCUUGUUUGAGAGUUGACAACGACAAGUCUUAACGGUGACGUGUCAGCACGGCAUGAUGACGUGUCUGUACGGUUUGGGUCUAGGGUUUUGGAUUUUUUGUCUAUGUCUUCUAGGGUUUUACAGGCAGCGGUGGCGGUGAGGAUGGAGAGCGUGAGAGGCGGCGCGCCCGUCGACAAGGCUGUGGAUUUCGCGAAUUACUUCUGCACCUACUCGUAUCUCUAUCACCAGAAGGAUAUGCUGUCGGAUCGGGUGAGAAUGGAUGCCUAUCACUCGGCCGUGUUUAAGAACAAGCGCCAUUUCCAGGGAAAGGUAGGAGAUCUCUCUUCUUAUUCUUCGCAUUCUAGUGUUUCAAUCGAUGGUUUUGGAUCGAGCAGACUGUCUUGGACGUGGGGACUGGGAGUGGGAUUUUGGCGAUUUGGUCGGCGCAAGCCGGUGCUAAGAAGGUGUACGCGGUGGAAGCUACAAACAUGGCUCGCCACGCGCGGAGCUUGGCGAGCGCGAAUGGAGUGAGCCACAUUGUGGAAGUGAUCGAGGGGUCGAUUGAGGAUGUUUCCAUUCCCGAGAAAGGUGAGUGUUGUUUCUUUUUCCCUUGCAUUUUUCUUUCCUUCUCGUUUGUGUUUCUUCGUCUCUUUGCUGAAGAGACGGUGUGUGUGUGUGUGUGUGUGUGUUAUGCGAUGCGACUAUAUACCAGGCUUGUUUUGUGACUUUCGUGCUGAGCAGUCGAUGUGAUCAUCUCCGAGUGGAUGGGCUACUUCCUUGUUCGUGAAUCUAUGUUUGAUUCGGUGAUUUAUGCGCGUGAUCGUUGGCUCAAACCAUCUGGAUUGAUGUAUGUAGUCUUUGAUUUGUCUCCUUUUUGUACACUGGCUCACUCACAAUCUUUUUUUGUUGCCCAGGUAUCCCAGCCAUGCUCGUAUGUGGUUUGCUCCCAUAAAGACCAAACUCGUAGAGCAAAAGAAUCAAGAGUAUCAGAAAUCACUGGCGGAUUGGAGCUACUUUUCUCAAGAGCUAAACGAGGCGUAUGGUGUUGAUAUGAGCACCCUGACAAUGCCAUAUCACGAGGAGCAAAAAAAAUACUACUUACAGGUAAAAUGUCUCUCUUUUUCUCUAGACUACCUAGCUAAAAACGAAGUUGUUUUUUUUCACUUCCAGACGUCCUUAUGGUCGAACUUAUAUCCGGGUCAAGUGAUUGGCGACCCGGUUGUUGUUAAAGAGAUCGAUUGCUCCAAUGCAACGCUCCAGGACAUUGCUGCUGUGAAGUCGCGAUUUUCGUUUACACUUUCUGGAAGCGAUAGGCUCUGUGGAUUUGCCGGCUGGUUUGACGUUCACUUUCGGGUCCGCUUUCGUUCUUUGCGGAUGAUGAAACCUCUCCCGCUCUCUCUCUCUUUUCCUUUUCUCUAACUAGUGUGGCUUUCCAGGGGAAUGCGUCGAAUCCAGCGGACAAGGAAGUCGAGUUGACAACCUCUCCAAGUGACACUGACACAACACACUGGGGCCAACAGGUGCUUUGAAGCGUUUCUCUUUGCUACUGCUAGUGAGAGUUAUUUUUCUCUCGACAGGUUUUCCUUCUCCAGCCUCCACUCGUGAUCGAAGACGGCGAUGUAGUCCAAGGCUCGAUCGAGAUCACACGCUCCAAAGACAAUCACCGGCUCAUGGAUGUCAAGAUCACUCACGAGCUUCGCUCGUCGGGAGAACAGUUUUAUCCGGCAACGGUUUGCAACUUCUUUAUCGAGUGAAAACUAAGAUUUUCCUGAUUCUUUCAAGCAAAACUAUAGACAUUGACACUCACGAAAGGGUACCACCUCUUCAUGACUUAAUAUUAACUAUUCCUUUUUCAUACUAUUCCUCCUGAGCUCCAGGUACUGCUGCGAUCCAAAAAUGGCACUUUUAGGGGACAACACCCAGCCUUACACCAUAGAUCAUCCUAAAUCUUUCACGAAGAACAAUGAUAUAGAUAUAUCGUUGUUCUUUGUGAAAGGUUCAAUGAAGUAUGGUUACACCAUAGAUGAUCUAAACGUUGCUAGAAGUUUGAGGAUCAAGCUUCCCUCUCGAACAUACUUUCGAGUUGCGGCGCGUGAAAAUGAUGAAAUUCCCACUGGUUUGCAUCUGGAUGUCAAGGACUUGGAGCCACAGCCAGCUCGCACUCCGUUCUAUAUCAGUGAAGACUGGUACUUUUUGUUUGACUGAUGCUAAUGACAAUACAAUCAAGUCAGGCCGGAUGCUGCCAGACGAAAAGCUUGUUGUCAAGUGAUUACAAGAGGGAAGUAGCAACAAAGACCAAACAGAGCGAGCGAGCUUGAUUAAAUGCCUUAUACAUAACUUUGAAUGGAAGAUAUAUAAAAUAUAAACGUCUGUAUUGAAGCAGAAAUUUCCCCGACUCUGAAACUCAAAAAAAUAAUAAAAAAAUGCAAACAUCCCAAAGGGAAUCCCGCACACAAAGGAAAACAACAAAGAAACACGAGAUAAGUUAAGCAUACCUCCAGAUUACAGCAUCAGCUUGUUAAGCCCAGAUUUGUCCGUGCAGAAGCACAGUGCAGGAUAAAUUUUGGCACAGAUCUUACACUCCUGGUCCUCUGAUGGGCAGGGCUUGGAGUUGGGGCAGCAUUGAGAGUGCGGCAUGCACUCCAUCUCUUUCAGGCUCCUGAAGUAUGAGAGAAGAGAAGAAGCCGGCACAAACUUUGUGUUGGGAGCUAUCUCAAUAGCAUUAAUGGACUCGGAGUGAAGCAAAUGCAAAUGCAACAGUGAGUGUGAGAACAAGAGUGAUCUUUGCUGCCUUUUCCAUGGGAUUUGCUUUGCGAAGACUAAAC